GGCACGGGGGUGGGGGAGGGAGUGGAGCUCCCCGCAACCCUCGGGUGGGUUUCGGUCCUCCUUUUGGCUUGGGACUAUCGCAUUUCCAAACUCCUGGUAACUACGGAGGGAUGCCUGCAGACCGACUUUCUUUGCUCUGGCUACUCGAGAAGAGUUGGAGCACUUUCUUUCUCUCUCUCUUUUAAUCAGACAGAAAUCAACUAGUGUUUUAAUUGAUGGACUGGAUAGGAUGGUGGGAGGGAUGGAGGCAAGCUACUGUCUCCUCAGGACUGUCAGUGGUGUCAGGGGAAGGGGUUAACUGGGGGUGUGUCGACCAGAAAAGACGUGAGCACGGGCUGGCCAGAGCUAGUAGGAUGCUCUUUGCCUGCCCUGCUGCUCCUCCAGAGUCCUUUGGCAAGUCCGUCCCUGGUCUGGCAGCCCCUGGAAGCUGAACUGAAGGGGGGCGGCUUCUGGGCCCUGGGCCAGGCCAGGGAGGGCACUGGGAGGGGGAAGCCCAGCUCUUGCUCGCCUCCCUAUUCUCAAUCCCUAUCCGAAAGAAGGCGACUCUGGGUGCUGACCGGAGAAUUGAGCUUGGGUGACUGAGAGAUGUCUGGGACUUUCUCACUUUCGCAAUUCCUGAAACAUUCCCUGUCCUUUCCCAAAUGUUUCCAGCAACUCUGGGCCUUCGCGCCACCCUGAGUGUCGCCAUUCUUCACUUCCUUCCCUUAAUUCUGUCAUCACUUGGCACAGAACCUGAGCAGUAGUGCUUACAGGAGAGUGUGUAUGUGUAUAUGUGUGUUGCUUGUGUUUUGUGGUCUCGCCAUUAGCAUCCUGGCUCUUUAGAACAGGAAUUGUUUUCCCCUCCCCCGCCAGUAUCCGACCCCCAAUGUACUCCGCCCCUCCCCACCCUGGUGAAUUGGAUUGGAAGAGGUGAGGUGUCAGGUUGAGGCUGUGUAACUCAGGCAGUCUCAGUGGCUCAGGGCCCCAGUGAGAGCCAGCGUGCUUGAGGUGGGUCUCAUUGUCAACCUGGCUGCCUCCUGUGGCUGGGGGAGCUAGUGGCAAUGCCCAGCGCGGUGCUUCACUAAGGAGUAGGCUACUGGCGUGGCUCUUGGUAUCUGCAGCUCCAGCUGCAAGAAGGCAAACUUCUUAGGUGGUGGUGGUCUCCCUGGAAAGAUAAGGGGACAGGAGAUCAUAGCCUAAAUCUGAAAUUGUAACUCGGUUUUCGGAGCCAAGGGGGAGGAGAUUUGGGACUGUUUGGAUGACUGACCCCUGGAGAUUAUCCUGACAUUUCCAGCCCAAAUAUGAGGACUCUCCCCGGCAUUACCUCUAUGACCAAAACCCCGGGUUUGUGACCAAAUUCAAAGCUCCUUAAGAUGAUCCAUUGCUGGCCAGUGAUGAAUUCAUUCCUGCGUGUUUCUCCGCAAACAGAACAGGAUUACAGCUCAGGUCCUGAGAUUGGUUUUGGAUAGCGAUGGAUUAGGAAACUUGUUAGUGUUUGCAGGGUUUUCCUAGGCUUGUUUCACUAGUUGGCAGAUGGGAAGGUUAUGCCCUGCAAUCCAAGGCUCGAGAUGUUUCUUUCUUCGUUAUGUUUCUACCUUCUAUGUUCGGCAGUUUGUGUUUUCAUUUGUAACGUUCUCAUCGUUUUAAAAAUGAACAGUUCAAAUGAACUCCUCCUGGCACACCCCUGGUUUAUAUAUUUUUUUAAGAUAGUGGAUAUAGGAAACCAUUAGCACCAAAGGGUAUGGACUGUUUUGUUUACAGGGUGAGACUAAGAAAGGUAGCCAGGCCUCUGUGGGCUAUAAUCAUGUGUCAGGACAGUUACUGUCUGGGACAGAAUAAUGCAGAAAUCACUACUAACGAUCUUGUCGUUGUUGUUAUUAUUAUUAUUAUUGGAAUUUAAGAACAUGAAAAUAUACAGGAAAAUGUCUAACCUCUCUCUAGUUUUUGGCUAGAAUUGGAGAUGUAAACAGAGGAGUCUGAAGGUCUUUCAGUGAACUCAUUUUUUAAAGAAAAUUAUAUUUAUGAGAAAAAAAGUCCGUUAUUUCUUAAAGGGAUAGAAAAGCAACAGAACAGAUGGAGCAUACUGACAGAGGUAGAAGCAACAUCAUCUUCUGAUGCUUGCAAGAUUUCAUUCACUACCAUGGCCUUUUGGGGUAAAACCUCGGCACAAACGUGAAAUUUAUGAGUGACAAAUGAGUAUUUAUGAUAUGGUAUCACUGUCACUAACUUCUCUGUGGACAUCAUCAUCCUAGGCUUGCACAUGGGAGUGCAUAUACUAAACUAAGUCUCAAAACGGGCUAUUUAUAUAAGAGGAAUGGGAGUUAUUUCCAGGACAAAAUAUUUAUAGGGCAUGUUUAACCUAUGACCUCUUGCACUUGUGCAGUCUUGAUCUGUUUUGAACAAUAGAGCAUGCCCGACUAAGCAUGUCUUUCAUGAAGCGAAAGAUAAAACUUUUGUAAACUCUACAAAGCCUGUUCACUCCUCUACCCAAGACAUGUACAUAUAAAUGUUGCAAUUGAUACGUCAAAUGUGACAUGUAAUAUUUUGGCAGUUCAUAAUAAUGUGUAAUUAUACGUCAUAUAAAUUAUUGCAUUCAAAAUUCAAAUUUAUUUAUUGAUAACACUAUGUUUUAAAACUAUAAUAUACUUAUAUAAAUUAAUAGUGAACUUCUGUUAGCUUGGAAUGAAAACUAAUGUAAUAGCAUAAUUUUGAUUAAAGAGCUGCCAGUCACUACAUGGUGUUUGCUUACCACUUUUGUUUUCUAUUUUAAUUACAACUUAAAAUUUAAACAUCCUGCCUUUUACUUUUGUACAAACCUUACCACUAAGACUUAUUUUUUAUUUGAUUAUUUUAAUAGUUUUGAAAUUAAAGUAUACUUACAACAUUUUCUUCAUCCCUCUCUUUCUUCCCAUCCCUCCCAUUCAGUCCCGCCUUUUCUCUCUCUUAGAUUCAUGAUUGUUUUAAUAGUAGCUUUCUGAAUUCAGAUAGGCAGGGUGAAUCUGGUCCCUUUACUAGCUGUUUAAAACACUUAAUCAUUAGUAAGAAAACUCCAAUCUGUUCAGUAAAAGGAGUCCUUGUAUUUUUCUCUGUUCAUUGUUUAGUAAUAGGCAUUUAAUUCAUUAUAGUUGAAUUGACUAUUAUUAAGAGAGAGGUGGGGUUUCUAGAACACGCAAAUACAGUUCAUUCAACCUCACAAUUGAAUAAAACCUCAGUACAACUUAAGACUUUCAUAAAUAUUAUGAAUUGUUUAGCUUUGUGUGCUGUCAUGAAAAAACAACCUAAAAUUGGCACUCUACAUGUGUUCAUUCCAUAUCUACCAUGUAACAAGUCUGAUUGUUACUAAAAUGAAUACAUUUUGUUCAUACCCAAAAUUUUACCUAAGAUGUGUUUAGCCUACCAUUAACCAUCAGUAAUAUAAAAGUCAUUAUGGCUUUUACUGGCUACUCUGACUGUUGAUGUAAAGAAGAAAUUGAGGUUGAGUACCAAUUCAUACAAGUUCAUUUUAAAACUGUACUGGCUAUGUACUCAGGAGUAUGGCAUUCUGUGAGUGAAGAAAGUGCUAUGUAAGAAGGCAUUAAGAUAAGAACUUUAAGAAACUUAAAAAUUAUCCAGAUUUUCAUAAUGAACGUAAAUGGAUCGGUGUAUAAGACAUCACAUAUUCAUGUGUCCUGAGUAAAUACUUGAGACCUCUGUGAAGAGUUAGAACUUUGUGAAAAUAUAAACCCAAAAUAGAAUUCUCCCCUUUAAAUAAGUAUACGAUUUGAAGAGGUAGUCAGGAAAGGGCAUUAACAAAAUGCAUCAUUGAGAUACAUAGUUUAUUUUUGUGAUUUCUAUUAAUUGAAAAAAAAGUGUUGGUGAGACUCUAGGGUUUAAUGAAUAAAAUUAAACACCUUGGUAUAACAGGUGUUGGUGAUCAACUUUUCACUAAGGAAUGUAGAAAUAAAUCUAGUUUAAAAAAAAUUCUCAAAUAAUUCAAUAUACUGGUAACAGUCUGUGUGCUACUUUAGAAGAUGGAAAUUAUGAAACAUUUCUCAUUAAAUGUUUAUUUACAGGAAUCUCUCAUAAUCAGUCUUGGUUGGUUUAGCUGAAUUAUCGUUUUGUUCAGACUGUUUACAGCCUUGAACUUUUAUUGUAACAUCUCAUUGCUUUAAAUUUUGUUACUAUUAUAUGAAGGAAACAAACUUUAACAGACAAUAUGUAACCUUUAUGUUUAGAUCAGAUAAGAUGUGUGUUUGCCAGUAGGUAUCAUGGAGGAAAAAUAGAAACAGUUCUGUUGUUAGUGAGCUAGAAUUAUUUCAUGAAUGGAUUUAACAACUAGGCAGGUAAAUGGAAAGCACCCAUUUUUUUUAUAUUCCAUAGUAAAAAAGAGUACAAUUUAAGUUAAACUUAGAAAACUUGGAAAAUCCAUCUGGCAUUGAUUAAUAACAGAAUUAACAGUGGUCAGAUAUUCUUGCUUUGGAAUAUUAUUUCUUUUUAAAAAGUACUGUGCUAUUGUUUUUGUUUUUGUGUUUUUUUUUAUUGUAUUUUGGCUAUAUGUGUGCACCUUUGAGGCCAGCAGGGGGCGGAGGAUCCCUUGAACUUGGUUGUGAGCUAACAUGUUGCUGCUGGGAACUGAAUCCAAGUCUAUUGAUGGAAGAGCAGUCAGUGCCUUUAACCACUGAGCCAUCUUGUGAGUCACGUAAUGGUCUUUUUUUAUUAUUUUAUCCACUUGGAGUUCUGUAUUUUAUUGCUCUGGGAAAUCCUACAGUAUUUUUAGUUAAUGAGUCCAUGUGUAUAAAAGGCAUUAUUAGAACAAAUUAUAGGGAAUGAUCUCUGCAGUAUUUUCUGAGUUCUAAAAUCAUGACUGAAUGGAAGCCAACAGUGCACUAAAUAGUAGGGAUCACUGUAUCCUUACUACUUUAUACUUUACCUUACCAAAACUGCAGUGUGCCUACUAAAUGUUGGAAUCCACCUAUUACCCUUAAUUUCUUCUUAAAUAUGAUGCCUUACAACGUGACUGAAAAAAAAAUGAUUCUAUGAGCACAUUGACAGCUAAUAACAAGCCCUAACCAUCUCUCCCUCUCCCUCUCCCUCUCCCUCUCCCUCUCCCUCUCCCUCUCCCUCUCCCUCUCCCUCUCCCUCUCCCUCUCUCUCUCUCUACCUUAAUGAGUCAAAUCAUUUAAAACAUAGAGAAUCAUCUGGUGAGAAACUGAAGCAGCCUUAAAGUACUAAUGUGCUUCAGGCAAUAGUAAAGUAAAAAAAUAACAGAAUCGAUGUAAUAGGUUUCAUUGUUACCUGGAUUGUGUUUUUCCACCCUGCUGUUCUAAGGAUUUCAAAUACUUAAGUCGAAGUCUUAGAAAAGAGAGGAAUAAAAAUCUGAGCUACACAUACUUUCCCCCGAAAAGAGAUGACAGGGUCUUUUUAUGGAGCUAGUUUACAGUCUCAUUAAAAGUCUGAUAAAUGAAACCAAGAUAUCAGGCUGCUAAUGUGAAAUUAACGUACAACAAAGGCUAUGAUUAUUUUAAAGAGCAUCCUUUUUUAUGACAGAAGUCAUGCCAUCUUAUAAAACAUCUAUGAUGAUGCCUCAAAUGAGAAGAUAAAAAAUAUUACCCAGAAGUAGAUAAUAGAUAAUACUGAACAUUCUUAUAUUUAUUUUUAGUCUUUUGGUAUGGAUAUUGUAGUGGGGAUGCAGUAAGAGAAAUAUGAGUUAUAUAUAAAAUCUCUAGUGUAUAGCUACUAUAUGGUAGGUGAUAGCUAUAGAUACCAUUACCUAUGCAACUCUUCUCUAACUUGUGUGGUUAUUAAGUAUCAUUGAGAGGAGCAGCUUUGGCAACAAGCAUGGCUAAAGAGAAGUGUUACAUUCUACCAGGCUGUCUACUACGUACUUGAAACAUUACUAACCUAUCUAAUCCUUGUAACUUUUAUUUCUCAUUUUAUCUAUGAGAAAACUAAGAUGAUAUGUGUUAAGUCCCUUGCUCAUAGCAUUUGCACUAAUGAAGUGAAGCUUAAAUACCACGUUUGUGUUGGAGAGUAGACAUCUCACUACUAUAUUGCUUCUACUUAUUUUGACUUUGUUUUUUCUUAAUUUAAAAUGGAAGUUUUAAAUUCUUCAAUUAUACCAGUUUUUCUGCCAGCAAUUACGUGUGUGUGUGUGUGUGUGUGUCUGUGUGUGUGUGUGUGUGUGUGUGUGUGUGUGUGUGUGUGUAUGAUUUAGAAGGCUCAAGUCAGUGAUACCAACUCUAAACAAGAACCGGAAUCUAAUUUUUACCAAAAUGAAAAGAUAAAACCUUAUCUAAUUAAUGUCCAAAUCAGAAUACACACACACACACACACACACACACACAUGUUUUAUGAUUCAGAUUGAUACUAAAAAAAGUAUUUGAGCCUUUGUGUAUGAAUUAAUAUCUCACUGGUAACAAUCUUUUUAUUAUCCCCCCCAGGAAGGCAUACUGAGAUUCAGGUACCUGGAUGAGGCAACAUUAAUAGUGAAUAAAUUAGAUUCUGCAGUGUUGAUUUUUUAAGUAAGUAAGUGGUUCAAUAAAUUGUGAAUGUUAUGCAGAUUUUCAAUAUCAUGGCUUAGAACAUAAAAGGGAAAGCCAAGAAGCAUGAUUCCAGAGUCUCAAGAUAUGUUCACGUGUGUGUGUGUGUGUGUGUGUGUGUGUGUGUGUGUGUCUGUGUCUGUGUCUGUGUCUGUGUCUGUGUGUGUUUGAAUGCUGGGUAUCAACCAAGGGCAUGUACAUGCGAGGCAAGCACAUUAGCACUGAUCUACAGCUCCAUUUCUGCCCAGGUCGUUCCAAUGAAGAAAAAAGUAAUUUGGGAAGUACUCAUCUUUUGUUAUCGUAUUGGAUUUGAAGUAAGAGUCUACCUUGGUGGCUGGGAUUUGACAGUUGUUUUACUUUAUGUUUUAUUUAGUGAGUUAGGAGGAUUUAUUAAAUUCUUAAUCAGGUAAAAAAAAGAGGAUUGGGUUGAUUCAUAAUGUGAGUAUUUUGUGUUCAAGUGAUGUGACCCAUUCACUUUCUAGCACAUUAAAAAGAAAAGUCAAGAAGUAGCCUUACUUUGGAAUACUGAUUGUUUCCUUUCUGGUGAGAUAUGAGGAAACGGAUUUCAUCAUAUUGCAAGGUCAUUAGGAAAAAACUGCUCUAUGUGAAAAUUUCCUGUGUGAUCUAGAAGGCUAAAGUCAGUGAUAUCAUCUCUAAACAUGAGCCAGAAUCUAAUAUUUACCGAAAUGAAAAGAUAAAACCUUAUCUAAUUAAUUCCCAAAUCAGGAUACACUCACGAGGUGGCCUGUCAAUGUAAGACAAAUGCUGCCUUAUUCUGCUGAGCUAGUCUGUGUAUUUACGUAUCUUCCUGAAGAUGGAAAGAUAGGAGUCUCCGAGUAAUUAAACUCCAAGAUCCCACUUUCAGGUAAAGAAUAGGACUAUUGUAAGCACAGAACAUUUACUUAGGAUCCUUGCCACUUCUCCUAAACUGUGCAAAUGCUACACAGAUACUGUUUAAGGACAGUUUCAUGUGUAGAAUAAUCUGAAUGACUCAGAUUAAUGUGGAUUUUUAAUUGUACUGUUAUCGUGAUGUUUGGCACAGCAUGAGUAGAUUCUUCACUGUGGAGAGCAUGCUUAUCUGCAACAGGAAAAUUUAAUGAUUCCUAACAGGUUUUUCUCCCUCUAGCACCGCGACCAAGGUUAACAGAUACACUAUUCUGCUACUUUCCUUCUUCACAACAUUGAAAUCUUAUCACAAGAUUUCAAACUGUGACGUCUGUGACAGAAAAAUGCCAAGUUCAGUAUCGCUGACCAAGUCAAUUUUCUUUCAAUGUCAGUGGUUCUUAAUCUUUGCUACAUAUCAUACUCUGAACAAAUGUUCAAGAUAGGGAACAUUUCUCCUAGAACCAAACUCAGGCUAUCAUUGUGUGUCUACACAUAUCGUGUGAACUUUCUAUGAAUGAGGAGUAAGCAAGGAAAGUGAUAAAACAGCCACUGCUAAACUCACAUGUUUUCGAUCUGUAGUGUGAGCUCUGUCUUUAAAGUUCAAAGACUAACAGUCUAUAUUCAUGAAAAUGGAACAAACGUCAGUAUACUCGUAGCUGAAAUUAGAUGGUACACUGUUAGUUUGUGUCAGCUGAUUCAAACUAGAGACAUGUGGGAAGAAGGCCCCUAUGCUGAGAAGUUGUCUGCCGGCAUUUUCUUGAUUUCCAAUGAAGAGAGGAAAGUCCAUCUCAUUGUGGGUGGUGCCACACAGGUCAAUUGGCUCUGGAUUGUAUAAACAGGGAGCUGAAUGGGAGCCUGGAAGCAGGCCAGAAAGCAGCAUUCCUUCAUGGUCUCUACUUCAGUUCCUGCUUCUUGGUUCCUGCCUUCCAUCCCUGCCCUGACUUCCUUCAGUGAUAGUUCAUGACUCAUGAUUUGUAGGAUGAAAUAAAAAUGAACCCUUUUGUCCCUAAGUUGUUUCUGGAACGUGUUUUAUCGGAGCAAUUGAAAUGGAAACUAGAACAGAUGGCUUUAUUCUAGUGAGCACAUGAGCAGUUCAUGAGGAAUUUGGUUAUUUUUGAAGUUUCUAAGUGUGCAUGUCUGUAAGUCCACUGCUCUCUGAAAUUAUCAAGACAACAUGUGACUGACGGCUCAUUCAUUUUGCUGUUUCUGACAUAAGCAACACAGCAUAGCAUUUUUCUAUGAGAUAAAAUAUUCCCAGAGCUCACUUUUAAGCAGGUUCAUAAAACUUGCCCCAGGAAGGCAUCAUUCUUUGUUGUUCUUAGUUUUAUUUUUUUCUGCAAUGUAUAUUUGUGAAUUAUGAAAUAUAUAUUGAGUUUCUGAUAUACGCAAGUUGUUGUUCUGUAGAUCCUGAAGGAUACAUGCAUGAAUAAACUUAAGGACCUACUCUCAAAGAACCUUACUUGUGGGAGGGAGAGAGCCUCAGUUCUAGGUCAGUGGUUAGAGAAAUAUAGGAAAAGCAAAGACCAUGCUAUUGUAUAGUGACCAAAAAAUAGAAGACAGAUCUAUCUCACUUUUUAUGUUAAAUUCUGAGUUAAUUCUGUAAAAACCUCUUUGAGUAAACUUGACAGUAACUCCUGCAUUGUAUCAUGAUUUCAAGGUGAGGGUAAGUCUUUGGAACUUGUAAUCAUAUGUAUUAGUUUGUUAUUUUACGGUAGUGAGUCAUAUUGAUAUAUUCUGAAAUUUUCACCAGUUACAAAGGCUGGGACAUACUUUUAUGGAACAACUCUUGCAAUGAGAAUUUCUGUUGUCAAAGAAUGAUUACAUCACAAUGAUCAGUUAUUAUUUAAAUCUGUCAAAUUAUUAAUGUUUACAUACAUUGGAAUGAGCUUUUUACGUGAGUUCCGUUGUAUACAAUGUGAAUAAUUCUGGCAAAAUUACUGAAAAGAGAAAUUUUCUGAUCAUAAUUCCUCAAGACCUACAGAAGCCAGAGUUUGCUGGAGAGAGGAUUGCGUAGCUUGCAAUGGAGCGGAUGUUACUUUUGGGGGAAAAAAGUCAUGUGUCAGUCACUACCAGAACUGCAUAAACUGGCAAUACACAAAAAUAACCCCAUUGUUACUAGCAUAAGCAGAUAACAUCCAUUGAAGAACUGAGCAAGCAUUUUCUCAUUUUCAACAUAAUUCUAUUCCCAGUGGGGACAUUGACUAAGCAUCUCAGAGUGUCCUCAAACUCCACGUUAUUGUCUCUGCAUCCUAAUAUAAUUGGGAUAUAAUUGGGAUCACCACUCAUGCUCUAAUGUAUGUCCAAAGUUUCAUCCGUAUUUGAUGGAGAAUUUGGAGAGUCAAUUUUAGGAAUACCUAGCAAGCAUAUCAAGGGCUUAAAGCCCAUCACUCACUGGAGGGUUAAGUUAUUCUUGUUAGUUUACUCAAGGAACUCACUAACCUUCCCAUUUCUCUCAUUACCCUUGUAUCUUUUAGCUGUUUGUUAGAGGAUUGCUCUUAAAAUGUAAAUGAAAUGAAAUACAACUAUUUUUGACAUAGUUUCCUGAAUGUUGACAUACCAUUUCUUAGUUUUCCUUUAAAAUAAACUUGAGCCAGUGGUCUAUUGUGUCAACACGUGUUUCUUCUUACCUUUUUAAAAAUCCCUUACAACAAGGUCUCUUCUCAUCACUAAAGCAAAGCUGUCUCUUCCCAAGUCGUCAGUGGCCCAGUUAUUUAAUCUAACAGUCGGUUUUCAGUGCCAGAUUCUGUAAUAUAGAAGGUGCUAGUAUUAUAUAUUAGUAACUCUUGAAGUCUCUGAUCAUUUUUUUUCCAGGUGAUGGAAGAUCCUGUAGUUCCACAUCCUACUGAUAAACCCUGCCACCUUCCUUGGAGAUGAGUUAACUCAAAUUGCUAUACUUUGUUUGUAAUUUAAUUUUUCCUUUUAUUUAUCCAAACUGAAUAAAUUCCAAUAAUGGGUCCCUGACUCUUAAAUUUGCCUAACUAGUAAUUAACGUCUCCAUCUGCAUUUUACUUUCCAAUCUUUUUCUCCUUAUAGACAGUGUUCUCUGUCGCCUUUCCCAUGUCUCUUGGAGAUGUCUCUCAACUAUAUUUGGGGGCCACUAUCAAUUACCUCUAAGCCACAUGAUAGCCUGAUUGGAUAUAUGUUCAAAGUUUGAACAGGUUUUCACUUGUCUGCUGCUUGUACCCAACCAAUGCCCUGUCUUACUUGGGUAUUUACAGUGCUACCAAGGCCCUGCUCUCCCUCUCCCACUCUUUGUCAUCCCCCUUGGCUGUUAUUCCCUGCAACUUCUCUGGCCUUCAUUUUUAUGAAUUUCUAACUGGUUGUCUUUUUUUAAUUGGAUAUUUUUUUGUUUAUAUUUCAAAUGUUAUUCCCUUUCCCAGUUUCCUGGACAUAAGCCCCCUAUCCCAUUCCCUCUCCCCCUUUUUCUAUAAGGGUGUUCCCCCUCCCCACCCACAUACCCCUUCCUGUCUCCCUGUCCUGACAUUCCCCUACACUGGGAGGUCUAGUCUUGGCAAGACUAAGGGCUUCUCCUCCCAUUGGUUCCCAAAACAUCCAUCCUCUGCUACAUAUGCAGCUGGAGACAUGGGUCUGUCCAUGUGUCCUCUUUGGAUAGUGGUUUAGUCCCUAGGAGCUCUGGUUAGUUGGUAUUGUUGUUCUGAGGGGGUUACAAGCCCUUUUAGGUCCUUCAAUCCUUUUUCUAACUCCUCCAAUGGGGACCCUGAUCUCAGCUCAAAGGUUGGCUGCUAGCAUUCGCCUCUGUAUUUGUCAUGCUCUGACUGAGUCUUUCAGGAGACAGCUAUAUCAGGCUUAUGUCAGCAUUUACUUCUUGGCUUCAUCAAUAUUGUCUAGGUUUGGUGGAUAUAUAUAUAUAUAUAUAUAUAUAUAUAUAUAUACACACACACACACACACACACACACACACACACACACACACACACACAUAUAUAUAUAUAUAUAUAUAUAUAUAUAUAUAUAUAUAUAUAUAUAUAUACUUAUGCUGAAUCCCUAGGUGGGACAGGCUCUGAAUGGCCAUUCCUUCAGUCUCUGCUCCAAAAUUUGUCUCCAUAUCCCUAUGAAUAUUUUUUCUUCUUUUAAGAAGGACUGAAGCAUCUGUGCUUUGGUCCUCCUUCUUCUUGAGCUUCAUGGGGUUGUCUUUUCUUAAGCAGCAGUAAUCUUGCUAUAUCAUGAGUGAAUGUGAUAGGUACAAUCAAGUUGACUUCAACUGCUAACUCUUUGAGGCCAAUUCUGGCACCUGCAUAUGUAGUUAUAUGUAGUGUAUGUAUUGCCAUAUAUUCAUGUGCAGGCCAGAGGUUCAAUGGUUCCUCUAUCACUUUCCACCCUAAAGCAUAUGCCACCAAUUCAGAUAAACUAGCUGAUGAGACUAGCAACCCCAGGGAGACCCUACUGUCUUUGUCUUUCCAGAACUGGGAAUACAGUCAUAUGCUACUGUGCCCGCUGUUUUACUUGGUUUUGAGGAUCAAAUUGAGGACCUCAUGCUUGUGCUUCAAGAACUUUACUAACCAACACUUCUCCCUUGGUCCUACUUCUGUUGAUAUUCAUGAGUUUUGGAGAGUUUGCACAACAUAUUUUUCACAUUUUGUUUUGUUGUCUGUUUCUUGUCUGUAUAAUGCUAGCUCUUAGAAGUUAGUAACAUCUGUAUUGUCUCUUUGUAUGUCUCAACUAACAGCUGACUUGCAGUACAUGCUCAUCAAGAAGGAAGAGAGUGAAUGUAGGAACCAGGGAGUUUUCUGUAAGGUUGUUGCUCCUUGUAACAUAGCAACUUCCACUUAUAAAUUCUCACCAAUGUGACUGCUCAGACAUGAGCUUAGCAAGUGGACAUACCAAACUGACAGGGAAAAGCCUGUGAGACCUUAACCCUACACAAAAUCCCACAGACAACUAGGGAAUACUGAGCAGGAGAAUUGUCUUUCCCAGGAAAGAGCACACCUGGUUUUCCAAUCUCAAAUGUUAGCUCUGAAAACAUACAUGCAAGUAACAUUAUACAGGUUGAGCAGAUUGUAUAAUACACAUGAAAUAGCAAUUAAUGUAAAAGAGGCCAUGGAUUUGAAUAAGAACACUGAGAGGUAUGUGAGAUUUUUGGAGGAAGAAGAGGGAAGAGAGAAAUGUUGUAAUUAUAUUAUGAUUACCUGAGCCAUAUAAAAUACAAAUAAAUAGUAUCUUUUUCUAAUUCUAAAUGUAUUCUCCUAAACCUGACCUCAUACAGUUCACAGCCAUCACCAUUUACUUUCUACCACUUUUCUAUAUGUUCUGAGAAUUAAUAUACAUAAUACCUAUGGGCACAGUCUUUUGAAUUCUUUCCACUCUUAUCUAUUUAUCAAUGUUGUUUGAAUGAGUUCAUGUUUUCUCUUCUUUGAUUUCACAAUAGAACAACAUUCUAUCCUUUGAAAUGGCCAAAGGUUUUCCUGGGGAAUGCUGUCAUGCUGAAUGAUGCUUUAUAUGCCAAAACUCAAAUUACACAAGACCAAGCAAACAAAACCUUAUCAAAUCUUCACUGUUCUCAGUCCAUUGGUUCUUAAAGUAUCCCUUCAAUAUUAAAAUUCUCAACAAAUUCUUCCUGCAUAAGCCAUGAAUUUGGUGUGGAAUACAACCGAGAAAUCUCACUUGCUUUUUAAUACAAGGAUGUCACGUUAAGAUCUUUGAAACAAUAGCAUGAUCCAUCAAUCAAUUAAAAUUCUUUCAGUAUAACAUGUAAAUGGAAAUGGAGAGAGAGAGUAUAUUUACAUUCAAAAAAUAUAACAUUUACCUUUCUUCCUGCUUGAAUAUUGUUCAUCUUCUCAUUAACUUUUGCAAAUUUUAAACAAAGUGGAAAAGACAUUUAAAAAUUGACAAUGGGUCUUGUUUGAAUAAAAGUCUAGUACACUAUUUGAGAAUCAAGCAUGAACAGCUUAGUGAGACCUAACAAACAAAAAGCCGAGGGACUGCAGAAGCUCUACAUUCAGCUUCCCGUAUUUUUCUCUUCUAUACUCCCUCUAGUGUUGGAAAAUAUGGACAUUUAAAAUUAGCCCAUUGUCACUUUAGCACAGAUGGUUGUGUGGAAACAGGGUUUCUCCAUAAUAUUGUUUUUUUUUCCUUAAAUAAUGUUACUAUGACCCUAAACUCUCAGAAACCACCAUCCCCCCUUCUCUGAAGAUGCUGCCAGGCCUGGCUCUCCCAUGCCCAUGUGUAGAAUCUCUGUACUUCUGUCAGGGACACAACUGGAUUUCCAUCUCUGUCUUUUUCCUCCAUUUGUAAACACCUUCAGUCAAGAGUUCUGAUUUGCAACUUAAACAUGAUCAGGUAUCUACACAUUCAAAAGAUAUGCAAGCGAAAAAUAAAAAUCCCUGUUUACUCUAUGAAUUGAAUAUGGAUAGGAAAACAUUAAUGAUGGAAUUUUGCUAUAAUAUACUGAAAUGCCUUUUAGAUAAAUCCCUUUCAAACUCCCAUAGGAAAUAGCCAUAAAAUCUGCAGAAGAAAAGUGUUAAAAUGAAAAAUAUAUGCUUAUUUAACAUAAAUUACUAGUAAUUUUAGCACAUGUAAAUGAUUAACCUGUCAUGAAAUUCCAUUGCUAUUUGCUGUUUUUUUGUUUGUUUGUUUGUUUUUUAUAAGUUAGGGCCUAGUGUAUACAUUUCUUUUCUAAAUUAACUGACGAUAUUACAGAAACAAUGUGACCUAUAGUUUUUAAGCCAUCUUAAUAUUUACCAUUAAAUUUCAGUUUCUUAUUAUUCGAUAAAGUUAAAACACAUGAAGAGAGUAUUCAACACCACUGCCCUCCUUCUGUCCUCUGAGCAUAACAAGGCUUUGGUACCUUUGAGUUCACCACACAAGGUCCCCAAGUUUGAGCCUAACAGCAUUCUGUCAGGAAGCAGGAAGGAGAUCAUGAGGUGCUCUCUGAAGACUUGCAUACCACUAAUGACUGCUGAGGGGAAAUGGGACAUUAAUUUUUCUGUAGCAUAGUUACUGGAAACGUGUCCGUGCUCCUGGAGAGAACCUCCCCCCCCAUUGUGCUCCAGUAAACAAACCUGAGACUAGAAAGGAAAGUAAGUAGGAGAGGGUAGUCAUUGAGGAAAGGAUGAGGACCAGCAGGGAUUGGAGGGAGGAGGGAGAGGGAAAGGGGGAUAUAAGGUCAAGCAAUGUUUCUCUCUCUCUGUCUAUCUUUCUCUCUCUCUGUCUAUCUAUCUAUAUAUCUAUAUCUAUCUAUAUACAUAUAAUGCAAUAAGAAAUUAAAGGCAAAAAUAGAAUAAAAUUAUUUUCAAUGAUUUUUCAGUGAUACUGCUUCAAAUUUCUAUUUGCUAUUUGGUAGUAUAUUAAAAGAUUGAUACACUUUAAAAUAGGACUUAAAACUUAACAGGCACUCUUUAGAAUUCUUCCAAAUUUAUUUUAUGUACAUAAUACUAGAUUAUAACUGUUAUGUUGCAUGCCAUGUUGGAAACAAAUUUUUAAUAUAGAGAAUAAUGUGGUACAGUGCAUGCACUCUUGAUUGUUUCAUGAACCACAAAUGCUUGAGAUUUCUCCAUCUGUUUCCUGAAGUUACUAAUACUCACAAAUCAAAGGAUUAUAUUACCAGUAGCUUCUUAGCAUACCAGAGCCAUGCAGCUCGGUGAGAGCUGUGCUGGCCAGUGAUGUCCUGGCAUGUUCCAGGAGCAGUAGAAGGCUUUCAGGAAACUGUCCAGGAGAAUCUUCAUUCGUAAUGUGUGUUUCUUUCCUCAAGGUACCAAAAAAAGUUCCAAGUUGUGCUCAAGCAGUUUAGUGUUACUUAAUAGAACCAGCUUUAAUGCUGUACAAUCUAGCUUUCAGAGAUUUGAAAUGUUUCUAGCUAUGCUAAUGCUCUUAUUGGAUUAUGAAAAUGUUUCUUUUUUCCCUAAAUACUUGGGAAGAAAAAAAGAUUUAACAUCUUACAUUUUUUUUCUUUAAAAAAAAUUAGAGAUCAGACCUGCCAUUAGAUCAGAGUUGCAGAAUGGGAAAAAGAAACACAAAGCAUUGUCAUUGGAUGGGUGGAUGGAGAAGGGGAGGCUACUUUGCUUGGUUUGGGUAACCCGGAAGGAUGAGCAUAGCUACAGGAAGUAGGUCAUUGGGGGUGGCCUUCUCCUUCUGUUUUCAUUUCUUCUUGCCUGUCAAACAGUGAGAAUAGCCUUUACCAAAGGCUUUAAGUGACUAGAGUUUCUGCCCCAGGCCAUGGUACAAGCAAAUAUGGGGAGAAUUUUAUGGAAUGGUAAGCUAAAACGAUUCCUUCUAUCCUGAAGUUGGUUUCUCCAGAAACUUGCCAGAGCAAUGGGAAAAUGAGCACAUAUACCACUACAGAUAUUCGCUUUCUUUAUUAGCAGGAAAGGAGUCUAACUCACGUAGGGCUUUGUAAAUUCUCCUACAAGCCUUUGCAAGAGGUUUUGUUACUGUAAAAAGUAAAGAGGAAAAUAAAGGUGUUAUUCCAAUACUUGUGACAAAUUAUAGAAAGAAUAUUAUAAUUAUUGAUACAGGAAGAAUAUAAUAUAUUCCACAAAUAAAGUCAUAAUUUUAAAAUCAGAUGGAUCUUUGAAUUUAAGAAAAACUUUCUAUGAUGCUCUAUUUACAGUGUCAUAAAUAAUGUAUUUGGCUAAUGAUAAUAUGAAACUGAUAAUAGCACUUUAAUAAAAUUGAGCAAAAUUUAUAUAACAUUUCAAGAAUGAUAUUAUUGACAAAAAUUUAUAAACUUAAUUAGGAAGUAGUUCAAUCUUUAUAGUCAAAUUGAUUUGCAAUCCUCAAGUAAACCAGGAAAUAUCCAAUCUGAUUUACUAUCUAAUCUACCAUAUUGAUACAAAACAGCUCAUGAUUGUUUUAUUUGGGUGUUGUUACUAAGAUUGCCACAAUUUUCAUAUUUAUAAGCAAAGUUUAACAUGGGAGUAAAAAAUAUUUCAUAUAAAAAUGGGGAAAUUGACACUUGUUAAAUUUUACCUAGGUUUCUUGUCCCAUUGCUGUGAUUAAAAUAAAAGCAAGUAAGGGCUUGUGUGGGAUGGGAUUUUGUUUUUUUGUUUUGUUUUUUGUUUUUUUUUUGUUUUUUUGUUUGUUUUUUUUUUGGCUCAUAGCCCAGUAGGGAAACCACAGGAGGGGAAGUCACAGUUAGCUACAAGAGCCUGAGGAAGCCUGCUACAUUGCAACCAGAGUAAAGAAUUGUACUGAAAAAUUCUUGUUCUCAAUCAUCUUUUUAUGCAGCCUAGAGAAUGGUGCCUCCCACAGUGAGCAUAUUCUAGCACCUCAGUUUACCCAAUUAAUACAUUUCAGAUGCUCCAACAUAUCACAAGGACACAUACUCUACUUUGUUCAUAGCAGACUAAUUUAUAAUAGCCAGAAGGUGGAAAGAACCAAGAUGUACUUCAACAGAGGAAUGGAUACAGAAAAUGUGACACAUUUAUAUUGUGGAGUACUACUCAGCUAUUAAAAACAAUAACUUCAUGAAACUCUUAGACAAAUGGAUGAAAUUAGAAAAUAUCAUGCUGAGUGAGGUAACCCAGUCACAAAAGAACAUACAUGGUAUGCACUUACUGAUAAGUGGAUAUUAGCCCAAAAGCUAGGAAUACCCAAGAUACAAUUCACAGACCCCAUGACACUCAAGAAGAAGGAAGACCAAAGUCUAGAUGCUUCAGUCCUUCUUAGAAGGGGGAAUAAAAUACACAAUGGAGGAAACAAAGAGACAAAGUGUUGAGCAGAGUCUGAAGGAAAGACCAUCCAGGGACUGCCCCAACUGGGGAUCCAUCCCAUAUACAGUCACCAAACACAGACACUAUUGCAGAUGCCAAGAAGUGCUUGCUGACAGGAGCCUGAUAUAGCUGUCCCCUGUGAAGAUCUUCCAGAAACUGACAAAUACAGAGGAGGAUGUGCACAGCCAACCAUUGAACAGAGCAUGGGGUCCCCAGUGGAGGAGUUAGAGAAAGAACUGAAAGAGCUGAACAGGUUUGUAACCUCAAAGGAAGAGCAACAAUAUCAACCAGCCAGACCCCUCUAUAGCUCCCAAGGACUAAACCACCAACCAAAGAGUACACAUGGAGCAACCCAUGACUCCAGCCUCAUAUGUAGCAGAGGAUAGCCUUGUCGGGCAUCAAUGGGAGGAGAGGCUGUGGUUCUGUGAAGGCUCAAUGCCCCAGUGUAGGAGAAUGCCAAGUCAGGGAGGCAGGAGGGAGUGAGUGGGUGGUUGGGGAAGAUGGGGUAGGGGAGUUUCAGAGGGGAAACCAGGAAAGAGGAUAACAUUUGAAAUGUAAAUAAAUAAAAUAUCCAAUAGAAAAAGAGAUUUCACAAAGCAUGUACAGAGAUCCAUAACCCUGGUGAAUGUACAUCUCAUCUGUUUGACAAUUCAGAUUAAUUAUCUCAAAAUAUAUAAUAACCUGUGGGCAUUUUCUCAUAGUAAGUAGAACCUACCUCAUAGGAGUAUUAUAAAAUGUUAAUACACAAUUAUUGAUGGUCUGGUCUCAUAAGUUUCUAAGAGUUUUUUCUUGACAAGUAUAUUUAGCUGGUCUGGAGAGAAUGAGUAAUUUGAAUAAAUGAAAUUUGUACCUAAAGUUCUGUAUCUGCUCCACUUUUACUACUUUUCUUAUUUCAGAAUUCAUCUAUCAUAUUAUUAAUCCCAGCACUUAGGUGGCAGAAGCAAGAGGAUCUCUUUUAUUUCUAGACUAGCCUACACACACACACACACACACACACACACACACACACACACACACGUUUACACACACAUAGACAGACAGACAGACACACACACACACAGAGUUGGGGGUGAGAGAGAGGGGGGAGAGACCGACAGACAGAAAGAAAGACAGAGAGACAGAGAGAAUAUAUAUCCAGCUAUUGUAUAGGCUAACACCAUGGUGCAUUAUGCUAUAAUCAUAAACUACCCUCAAAUGUCUGUUAUGUAAUUCAACAGUAGUUCAUUUUGUCCAGUAUAAAAGCACUCUCCAAAGCCAGUGAGUGAAGAUUUGUGCUCUAGUGGGUCAUCCUUGGACUCUUGUGAUUCUCUUGUUGCCAUUGUGGUCUCAGAGGAGAAAUGCUAGGAGAACCAAUAUCCAAAUGAAUGCUUUAAUCUGCAAACAAAAUAGAUUUUUCUGUGCAUACAGAAGUGUGUUCCAUCAGGAAAUGUAAAGCAAUGGAGCUUUACAAACCCACAGUGGAAAUGAAAUCUGUUGGAACUUGAAGGCUCUGUAGGAUCCUAUCCACAACUUUACUGGAUUAUCCUUUUCAAACAAGGUUUAUGUGAUAUUAAUUUUGUAGGAUUUUACAUAUAAACACACACAUAUAUGUGCGCAUGUGUAUACAUGCAGAGUUUCAUGCAUAGAGAAGAUGACCAAUUCAACAUAUUGGUAUUAUUUUCCAAAUGUUUGAGGAUAAACAUUUUGCCUUUUGGUGGUGGUAUUGGGGUAAGGGAUGCUAGAGAAAUGGUUCAGUGGGUAAGAGCACUUUGUAUUCUUCCAGAGAACCUGAAUUCAGUUUCUUCAUCCAAUGUUAGGUGGUUCACAAUCACCUGUAACUCCAGCUCCAAGGACCUCUUGCUUUCUUCUGCCUCCCACUUCUAGGCAUCUGCGCAUGGUUGCCAUUCUAUCAUACAAACCAUGCACACAUAUACAUAGAUAAACUUAAUAAUAUAUAAAUCUUUUAAAGAAUGUUUUUCCUGAGAUUCUGUGUCAGAAUUAUUGAUUUGUAAAGAACUAUUCAUGAAUUUGAAAAUUGAAUGAAUGUCAGGAUGUGUCAAAAAUUUACCUUUUGUGGAAUCUAUAGCAAAUCAAGGAUAUGUCACUUUGUAUGUGUCAGUAAAACUGUAAAUAGAAAAAUAUAAUGUACCCUUUAUUCUAUAAUAGUGAACAUUUCUGAAUGCUUCAAUAACAAAAUGGAGCUCAGAACACAAAAUCAUAGUCAAAAGUAGAUAUCUACUAUUCUCUAAGCAAUUCUUAACUCGUGUGAGCAAGAACACAAAGUAAAAUUAGUAGUUUUUGAGUUUCAACUUAGUCUGAGCCAGUUCAGGACAUUUCCAAUCUUAUUUGUCUAUAGUAGGCUACAGACACCAAAUCAGAAUGGGCACAGACUUCCUUCGAUAUUUGUAUUCUGCCCCUAGUGUGAAACAAAAAAAGCAAGCAAAUAUAACAAUCUUAGAAUAACCUCUAUGAAACAAGCAUGCUCACCAACAAGGGUGGUUUUUUAAUAAAAUAAAUCCCUAGCUACGCCAUUUAUGCCCAUGAACAUGCAUAUUCUGCCUGAAGCAUGAACUAUGGCUAAGGCAUUGUGACUCUCUGGUAAAACAUGAAAAGAUCAAAGACAUUUCCAUCCCCAAAAGCUGUAAACUUCAAAAACAUGAGCUUUCAGAAAAUAUCCUCUUUCCACCAGAAUUUUGCAUAAAAUUGCAGAAUGCUGUCUUGAAUUCAUAGAAUAAAAUCUGCAAUGACAAUUUUAGUUUAUUUUCUUUUUACUAAGAUGAUGCAAUCUUUAGAAAGAACAGCACUUGGACGUCUAUGGAAUUCUGAAUUCUAUCAGUUACGUAUACUUUACAUAAUUUAAAUUAUUUGGUAUGCAAUUUGAAUAAAAUUCUAAAAAUGUAUAUUAUUUUAUUAGUUUUAUCUUUGUGUAAAAACUGGCAUUUUACAAAAAAAUUUGAGACAUUUUAAAACUUUAAGAAAAAGCAAAAAAUAAAUAUUGGCUAUUUACUUUUUAAUUUUUAAAAGAUUUAUCUAUUUAUUUUCUAAUUGUGAGUAUACUAGCUGUUUUUAGACACACCAGAAGAGGGCAUCAAAUUCCAUUACAGAUAGCCACCAUGUAGUUGCUGGGAAUUGAACUCAGGACAUACGGAAGAGCAGUUAGUGCUCUAAACCACUAAGCCAUCUCUCCAGCCCAAUAGUGCUAUCUUUAAUUUUAAGAAUAUUAUUAAUGCGAAAUUAUAAAAAGACUGUCCAAUAAGUGUCUAGAAUAUUUGGUGAGCACAGAAAGUGCCAAAAUUACAUAGCAAUCACCAUGGUCACCUCUUGGCUUAUAGCAUCUGUUUGUACUUGUAAAUGUGCUAGGGUUCUCGUUAGUGGAGGCAGUGAUAUAACAUGCACAUCAUGCAUUAUGAGUGGCUAUGACACUUGCAGAUGCUGGUUGAAUUAUGACUACGUUUUCUUCCAUGUGUUUCUCUGCUAACACAUUAAGCCUCCUGAAGUGACUUCAGAAGAAAGGAAAAUAAUGAGGUCCCAUGAUUUAUUUUCUAGGCAAUCUGUAAACAUGACAGUGACAAUGCCUUACAAAUGCCGUACAUCACCACCUCCUCUCCUCGCUCUGUGUGAGCUUAGGCACGAGGUUGAGUGGCUAUACACAUACAUUUUUAGUGUUAUUCCUGUUUUGAAACUACUAUUUGUAGGCAAUGUUUAGUUCACAAAACCUUGGCAAUAAACUGUUACAUGUACUUGAUAAAUCAGUGAAUUUAGGAUACCAUAAUUACAAGCAUAAAUGUGUCACAAAUUGGUAAAUGGAACUGAUAAAUUAAUAUUCAUGUCUUUGUCUACUUUUAAUUUGAAUUCACAUAUGCAACACAUGCUGUAUAUUUAAAAAUUAGUUUUGUAACUAGUUUUUUGCUUAUAUGUUUUAUCUUCCGUUAAAAGACAACAGAAAAGAAAUAUUCAUUGUGACAGAGUAUUUUAUGCCAAAAUGUACCUUUCUUUGUGUUAUUUAAUGAGUCUUAACGAGUUGAUGCUGUUCGAUUUUUAAACUUAAGCUUUCAGUCUGAAAUAAUUGUAGAUUCGCAUGCAUAUAUAAAGAAGGAUGCAUGGAGAUCUCUUUGACCUUCUCCAGCCCCCUGCAGGGAAAUACCUUUCAAAUCUUCAGCAAAAUCUAAUAAUCAGGAUAUUGACAUCAAUGGAGUUGUGAUUCCAAACUUACAAUGCAAAAAGGAUUUCUCCAGGCAUCUUUUACAACUCUCCCAAAAUCACUACCAUGCUCAUUCAUUCCCUAACCACUUAAAACCUUUUUCUGUACAUUUUCUUUUGCAAUAGUUAUAGUUAUCAAAUUAUAUGUACUCUUUUGAACCUUUGUUUACCUUAUAUAAUUAUCUAUGGAUCAACAUGUCCAAACGAUUUGUCCCUUUUUACUGCUGACGAGUCUGUCAUGCACCAUCCAGUGUUGAAAGUUCACAUGUUGAAGGACAUCUGUGUUGUUGACAGUUUGGGAAUCUGAUGAACAAAGCUGGACUGAAUAUGUAUCUAUGAGUUUUCCCUUGAGCAUAAGUCAUCUUUUUUUGUUGGAAAUUCUGUCCGAGCAUAUAAUUUCUGGAUCAUGCUGCAGUUCUCUAUUAAUUAGAUUCAUCAGAAACUGUCAACUGUACUCCUCUGUGGUUGGGUCAUUUUUCAGUCUGACUUACUCUGCAUGUGCUACCGUUUCAGUUGCUGUCCCUCUUCACCAGCAUUGAAUGCUGCUAUUUAUCUGGGGGCAUCCUGACAAGAGUAAUGGGUUUAUUCCACAAUAGUUGGUGGCGAUGAUAUUGAGCACAAGUCCUCAUUGAUCGACUGUCUUUUUGAUGAGCGUUAUUGUUUAUAUAUGCUUGGCCCAUGAGUAGCACUGUUAGAAGUUGUGUCCCUGUUGGCAUAGGUGUGGCCUUGUUGGAGUAGGCUUGUCACAGUGGGUGUGGGCUUUAAGACCCUCUUCCUUGCUGCCUGGAAGCCAGUAUUCUGCUAGCAUCCUUCAGAUGAAGAUGUAGAACUCAGCUCCUCCUGCACCAUGCCUGCCUGGAUGCUGCCAUUUUCCAGCCUUGAUGAUAAUGGACUGAACCCUCUGAACCUGUAAGCCAGUUCCAGUUAAAUAUUGUCUUUAUAAGACUUGCCUUGGUCAUGGUGUCUGUUCACACCAUUAAAACCCUAAUUAAGAUAAUGCACAUGUCUUUCUGUUUUGAAACUUUUUGGUUUUGGGUUUUUUUUUUUACUAUUGAAUUUAGACAGUUCUUUACAUACUUUGGCUACUAGUCCCAUGUCAAACAUCAGGUUUUCUAAUAUGUCACCUCUAAUAUAGCAUCAGUUUGACUUUUUUUUCUGCAGAAUUUUUAGUGAUUCAAAUAUACAAUUUUAUGAAGUUAAACUUACUGUUAUUUAUAUUAGGAAUAAUGCUCUAGGUAUCAAGUGUAACAUUUCUCUGCCCUGUAUAUUGAACAUUUUAUCCUACAUCUACAGUGUUGGUCUAUUACUAUACCUUAUGCCACAAUGCUUCCCCAAAAGUUUAUAAUCCUAUACUUGGCAUGUCACUCUGUGGUCCACUUUGAGUUAUAUUUUAUGAGGUAUCAGUCAGAUUGAGGCUGUUUGCUUUGCUAUGGAAGCUACAUUUCCAUUUAAUACCAUGGAAGCGUACACCUUAGCAUUCUUCCAUUAUGUGCUUUUCAACUUUUAUGAAAAUACAUUUAGAGAUGUUUCGUUGGAUUAUGAAUUUGCUGUUUAUGAGUCCCCUCAGUAUAUGUUUCCAUCUUUUCAAUGACACUGCAUAGGAUAUAAAUAAGUACUCUCAUAUUAGUCUUGAAAUCGUAUGGACUAACUCUUCUUACCUUAGUCUUUUCCAACUAAUUUUGCUAUUCUAAUUCAUUUAAUUCUAACAUCAACAUUAGGAUCAUCUUGCAUAUGCCUUAAAUAUAGUUCUGUAAGGGAGGCCACAGAAUCCCCUCCCUCCCACCCCCCAAAUAUCCCAAUUCAGUUCCUUGGCCACUUCUUGAUUGCCCACUAGAGCUAAUUGGUAAGACCCUAUUAGGGUUAGGAAACCACAUACCUUGGUAGUAAGGUUUAGAAAAAGCAAGCCAGAACUGAACUGGAAGCUUCCUUCCUGGUGGAUAUAGGUUAUUAUGUGGGGGAAAGUAUCCAGUAAUUUACUCAGUUUUGAGCUCUAUUACUCUAUUGUAGCUGGUCUUCGCUACAUUGUGAGUUGUUCAUUUUCCCACCCUUUAUUCUUCAGUCCUCUCCCCACACUAGUUAGGACAGAAACAAGGAUAGGGAAGGGAGACAGAGAGAGAUCAUUGAAUGUAAUUUCUUCCCUUUUGUUUCUUCUUUGACCACAGCUACUAACAAACUACAGUCAACCUCCGUAAAUUACCAACAGCCACCCACUCCACCUAUCAGGGCUCUAGCCUUUAUAUAACCUCUGAAAACUCCCCAGAAUUCCAAACGUCAUGUAAUCACAAAAACAAUCUGCAGCUGGCAAAACAAUGCCUCUGCGAGAGCAUUAGGCUAAUCACAGUCAGCUGUGCACAGUCCACAUGCCUACACCCGGGAGUAAAACGAAAGGACAUUGGUUUAAUAUUUCUGUGUUUUCUAAAGAAAUCAAAAUUCCAGAAUUCUCAAUAGUGUCACUAAAAUCUAUCAUAUCAAUUGUCCAGAAAAGAUGUGUCCACCUAUACAAUAGUGGCACAACUGUUAUGGGAAUAACCAACUACUCUAAUUGUAUUUGAAGCCUGCUUCACAAGAUUUCAUGCCCAGUAUUGUAAAUCCAGUCAAAAGAAGGCUAAGAGGUCUCAAGUUCUAGGGGGAAUUUAAUUCUGUUGUUUAGCUAAACUGUCCUGAGUGCAAGCUGCCUUCCGAAUAUUUAUGUUUUUACCCACAGAAAAUGGUACUCCCAGCUUUAAUCAGAGAAUGCCUUCCUGUUAAUGAAUAGUAAUAAAUACACAGACACAUUAAUCCCUACGAUGUUAAGAAUAUGUAACUGGUUGCUUAACCCUAAAGAGAAACAACCUCAGGGGUUGGGGAUUUAGCUCAGUGGUAGAGCGCUUGCCUAGCACGCGCAAGGCCCUGGGUUCGGUCCCCAGCUCUGAAAAAAAAAAAAAGAGAGAAACAACCUCACUGAAACCUCUUGGCACAAUUCAGAAAGAGGGACAGAAAUAAUAUAAGAGUGAAUAGGGAGAUGGGCUACGAAAUGCUGCCUCUGGGGAUGGCAUAUCUAAUACAGCCAUAAACUCACAGUAGCUGAGGCUACAUAAAACUUUCAACAAUCAAACAUGGAAGGGGGGACUAGCUUAUGGAGCUUUCCUUCUGCAUGACUGCCUCCCAUGGACUCUGAGGGAGGUGUGGUCAUUACCUUUUGUUAUAUAUACACUGAGGAGGUCACCAGGCUUCAAUAGAUAGUUCAAAACCAAUGUCACCCCUGGAAUUAAACAUGCCACUCAAAACAGCAGUCACCACAAAACCACAAAAGAUCUUAAGUUUAUAUGGGAGCCUAUAAAGAAGAAAGGAAGUAAUAGAGACAUGAGGGAAAUUGGAGGGGAGGGACUAUAAUCAGAAUGCACCUCAUACACACAUAUGUACAUAUAUGUAUAUAUACAUGCGUGUGCAUGUACGUGUGUGUGUGUGUGUGUGUGUGUGUGUGUGUGUGUGUGUGAUAUUGUAAAAGGCAAACUCACUUGCCAAUAUCCUCUUGGCGCCGGGACUUCUUUAUUACCUCCGCUUUCCAUGCUGAUAUUUGAUAUGGUCUUGGGUCCUUUGGGACUUGUAUAGUCAUUGUGAACUGUUGCUAAACGACAACUCCCGGGAGGAAGGGAGUCCGUUUUCCUUAAGAAAGUUGUGUCUGUUAAGUCAACUACGCUCCAGUGGAAUGGAGGUCUAAGAAUGUAUGGCCAGGAAAUAGUUAGACUUAAUGGGUGAGAAAGCAGGGGACAUAAAUGUGGGUAACAGGGAAAUAGGGGUAUUUCGGAGUGGUAGCUGGUAUGAGAAUUAUCAAAAUAAUUAGGAGGACUAAUUUUAUAGAGUAGGGAUAGGCUUAAAUGCACAUAAAAAUUAUGAAGGAAUGAUACUUUUCUCAUAAGUUUAACUAAGUCCUAGAUAUUUAAUUUGUCAAAGAAAAGGUAACAUGGUGAUGCUAAAAUAUAUGCCCCUCCUAAUUUAAACUGAAUGUGAAAAAGAGAUUAACUUUUUGGAAAAACGAUAGCUUAUGAAAUUAUUACGGAGUCAUUUUUUACUAUCCUUUCUUGACCUUAUUCUUCCAAGGAAUUUUUUUUAUUAAAACAUAGCAUGUUUAUUCUGUAAAGAGGUAUUGAAUCAAUAUUGUUUCUCAAUGUAUUCACAUAUCUCCAUUUGUAGAAAGAAGUGGAGUUAUCCAAGUUGAAAAAUUGGGAUAUAAUGUGAUCUACUGACUUAUCAAGGAGAAAAAUUAUUAAUGUACAUAUCAAAGGUCACUGGGGAAGAGAGGGAAGGCUCCAGUAUUCUCAGAAUGAAAUGUCUUCGUGAUUCACUGUGAACUGAAGCAACUCCUGGAGGAAAAUUUGUCAGGACAAUCAGGACCUUUCUCAACUUUCUGUAACAGUGACUCCACUUGAAGGAAUUACAGAUAAAUAUAGAACAAUGACAACAUCAAUAUCCUGUUAAUUCUACUGCAAUCCUUAAACAAUUUAAUGUUGUACUUUUAGUACCUUUUUAAGUUUAAUUUUUCAUUAUUUUAAUAUUAGAGAAAUGUAUUAAUUCUUUUAAGGUUUAUUUAUUUUUAUUUAUAUUUAUUUUAUGUAUAUAAGUAUGCUGUCUUCAUAUACACCCAAAAAUGCGCAUUGGAUCCCACUACAGAUGGUAGUGAGCCACCACAUGGUUGCUAGGAGUUCAACUCAGGACUUCUGGAAAAGUAACUGACCCAUCUCUCCAGCCCAGACAUUAAUUCUUAAUCAGCAAAUAAAUAUAAUAUAUAUUAUUCUCUAAAAUAUAAGAAUAUCCCUAGAUUUUAGUAAUUCUUGGAGAAUUUUGUAAACUGUAUUUUGAUCAUAUUUACCCCAUCUCUACUCCUCUAUUCCUCUUCCCCACCCACUCAACCUUGUGUUCUCACUGCUUAGAAUACAUCUAGUAGAUGCAAAUCUGGCAAAUUUAGUUUGCAUUACUCAUAAACUCUUGGGGGUGUGGCCCUCACUGAAGCAUUGUUGAUGUGGAAUUUUUAGUUCGUGUAAGUCACAUAUAAUGAAUAGUCAAGGGAUAAGUAUUCUUAUUGUCUCUGUAACCUUUUCGGCAGGGAAAUUCCUUUAAUUAUUCCUGUGGCUAUGAUAGAAAGGUUUUCUAUUAUACAAAACAGAAUUUGAUACAAGGGCAAAUAACAGGAAGAUGCUGUGCAGGCUUAAACUACAGUCCAGCCUCGGCGUGAAGCUGGAUCCUUUAGAUCCAGCUCUGAUGCAAGUCUUCCUCCUUGGAACAGUUCUCUUUUUAAUACUUAGAGUGUGGAUGCUACCCCUUUUUGUCUUUUUAUAUCUAACAGUCUCAUACCAUCAAUUUUGAGUUCAUCCUAAUAAAACAAGACUAAACUUGAAGUUAACGCAAUUGGGUUUAAGAAAUCAAGUACUUUUUGGUUUCUAUGUUUGCUGGUCUUAGGAGGUGAAGGAAUGUCUGUGACUAAUCAAAACUUUCUUAUAUUUAGCAGUGACAUCAUUAUAUUGCAAACCGAAGACAUGUUUAUUCACUUAAGGAAUACUUCGGGGAGUUGAUAACCUUAUGCUGUACAUUGAAACAUGUGAAAUCCCACAUGGAGCACUGGGUUGAAAAUAGUUAUGUACUCAGUGCAUCUUAAGUGAAAGAUACCGUAUUCCACCAUUGAAAGUUUUAUGAGGCCAUUAAAAUAUAAAGUAUUGUUUUAUUUUUAGACCAGAAUGCCUACAUUUUAUGUUAGAUAAAAGGAAAAAGAAGAGAAGCUAUAGAAAAAAUAUUUCCUCAGAAGAUGAUGCAAAUUCCAAAGAUUGUUUAUGUUAAAAAAUUGUGUUUCAGUCAUUUCUACUCACAUGAAAUUCUGUACUAAUAUAUGCUCUUAUUUAAUGAGGGGUAGGAAAAUGUGUUCACUCAUCAACUGUGUGUGGCCUUAUCAGUGUAUGCAGUGUCAUUCCAGAGAAUGUCUGUAACCCAUUGCUGUGAAGCUAUGAGCCGUGAGCUUCACAUAGUCUUAAAAGUUGAGGACACUUACUGUCUCUUAAAUAAGAGUCAUAACUCUUUGAGGAAAAAACUUGCCAGUAAAAUAACCCAGUUGCUGCGGACACAUUGGUAUUUGGCAGACAGGUUUCAACUCCCCACAGCUCUGUCCACCACCACCCUCCUCUUGACACUGAUGCUACCGGAAUUGGAUCAGUUGCUCUCAAGUUCUAAUAAUCCAUCAUUGGGAGAUUGCAACACUUAUUCUGUAUUCAUUCCACUGUAGCAUAAAUGAAGCCAAGGGAUGAUAAGAGCCGUGAAUCCCUACCAGAUUCUCUUGAAGCAUGCAGUUAGUAAAAUUCUGAAUGAUCAUGGUGCUGAAUCUAAUCUUACUUAUGUUGGGGCUGCUUGCUUUGAAGGAGGCUGUCAUGCACUGUGAUGAUAUAUUUAAAAGAAAUGGUUUGUUCUGAAUUUUGAGACAUAUUUUCAAUUUAAAAGAUAGUAGUCUCCCAGCCUGCAUGGGUUUUACAUGUAUGAAAACCAUUUGAUCCAAGAUGGGCAGAGUUUUGGAACGAAAAUCACAGUGUGACUGCCAGAGGAUAUCAAGUGGGAACUCACAGGAGGCCAUGAAGCCAGUGCUUACUACAAAAGAUGACCAGCUCCCUUCAGCAGCAAGGAGCCGAGAUCCUAAGGGGCCUGGCAGCCCUGUAACACUUUCACUCCCUGUGUUAGUUGUUUGCUGUCAGAGAGUCUCACACACAGAGAGAUCACCUGCACUUCUAAAUGAAAAUUUCCAAGGCCUACAGUCACAAAUCUAUAGGUAAAGACAUACUGUGUCUUUAAGAAUUCUAGCAAACAUGGGAUUCAGACAGAAGGAAGGUUUAUUGUGUAUCCCUUCUUCCACAUUCUUAGGAAUUUUUCUAAUAUCUUUUUCUAUAGACAAUUUAGGAAUAUAAUCUGAAAAUCCAACUAUAUGGCAAUUGUUUCAAAAAUAAUACAAACAUUGUUUGCACCUGAUUAAUUUCAUUCCCUCCAUUUUCUGUGUCUUUUUCCCUCUUUCCCUCCUUUAAGUAUUCUAGGAUAUUCAAGAUUAUACUAAUAUAAUGAGGCUUCUUCAGGAUGCCAAUAGAGUUCUUUUCAUUAAAACAAUAACUUACCACCUCCCACUGUGUGUAUAUGAGUAUGUGUGUGUGUGUGUGUGUGUGUUGUGUUAUGUUGUAUAUGGUAUACCAUGCCAUACUUGUGGUGGUUAGAGGACACUUUUCUGGAGUCAGUCCUCUCAUUCCACAUUUUCUUGAGUUUCAAGGGUCUAACUCACAUGUCUAUUCUUGUAAGGCAAGGGCUUUACAGGAUGAACCAUCGUGUAGUUAAGAACUCCUGAUAGGGUUCUUAAUGAGGAAACAGUCUCUGACUCAUUUGGUCACUGAAAUAUUCUUGAACAAUGUAUUGACUAUGUUGAAUGGGGCCUUACCUCUGGUGUACACAAAUCCACAGACAUAAAAAUACUUCCUAAAUUUUAACCCUGUAUUCCACAGAACAGGUAAAGAAAACUUGUAUAGCUGAAGUUAAAACUCCAAUACUCUAACUUAAUAGAUGAUUUUAGGAGGGAGUUCAUAAGUGGUCAAGAUUUCAAGGCUCAUGAAAUUUUUACAAGAGGAAAAGUGUACUGUUGGAAGUUGGACCAGAAGCCAUUGGUAAUAUAUUCUGGUGAAGUUUUGGCUGUUCUACUUUUGUUGUAGAAACUUGAAUGCAGGUGAAGUAAAAUGCAAUGGAAUAAAUUCUGUUUGGGGACAGUAUAACAUCUGAGCCUGGCACAAUUAUUACUUUCUGCUCUUGGUCAGAUUUAUAAAAAUAAGAACAAAGGGUUUGAAAUGUGUAGCUUGAAGAGGAAAGUAGCUUGAAAACAAUGUUGUGAGCAGGGCAGGUAAAGACAAGCAAAUUAUAAUUAUUGAACAUACUAACUUGAUUAAGAAACCUUACACUUAGCACUGAGAUGUAUUUAAGGAGGAUGUAUUUAAUGGAGAGCACUUUAAAGCUCUAGCUCAAAACAUGUUAAUGUAUCUGUAAAGAAAGAACCUGACUCAAACUGAUACUGAAGGAGGUCCCUGCUCAAAGACAACUACCUACGGCUGAUAGGCACACACAGCGAAGGCACACAGAGAGAAGCAUCAUAUCCGUGGUAGCCAGGGGCUAUACUUCAUCUGGAGUUUCCUGCUUAUGCUGCCAUCCUCCAUGCUGUACUGGUUUUCCAGCAUCUUUGCAGGCAGGCAAAAUAAGAGAUCGAUGUCAGGUCAUGGAAGAGCCACGGUUCCAGACAACAGUUGAGGAAAGGCAAUAUGCUAAAGGAUUAGAGUGCCUGCAUGGACCUUCUGAGUACUCUGUUGGGUUGGGGAUUUAGCUCAGUGGUAGAGCGCUUGCCUAGGAAGCGCAAGGCCCUGGGUUCGGUCCCCAGCUCCGAAGAAAAAACAAACAAACAAACAAAAACUGAGUACUCUGUUUAUGCUAUCUGCGCACAGGAAGCCUAACUUGUAUAGAAAGUCAAGUGUAUUGUAGAUGCUGGGAACAUGGGGUACUUGUCAGGAGUAGAUGAAGACUUGGAGUUGAGACAGUGGCUAUAUACCCCAGAGGCAACACAGCUUCAUGAGUAGAGCUACCUAAGCCUGGCGAAACUCAGUAGCUGCCCCAGGUACUGGUCAGGAACCUGCUUUGCUUGGCCUCAUCUUAACUUUCUAUGUACUCGUUAUUCCUGUUUACAUACCAUGCCAUUGCAUUUUCUACAUGUGUAACCUGAGUUUUAAUAUUUACAGGGGAAUAUAGUUAAGACAUUGACUUAAGGGCUGGAGAGAUGGCUCAGCGGUUAAGAGCACCAACUGCUCUUCCCGAGGUCCUGAGUUCAAUUCCCAGCAACCACAUGGUGGCUCACAACCAUCUGUAAUGGGGUUGGGUGUGUCUGAAGACAGCUACAGUGUGCUUAUAUACAUUAAGUAAAGACAUUGACUUAAGUCUUAUAAGAGACAAUGAGCUUUAGAGCCACAUAGAGCAUUAAGACUUCAGAAUGCAUUAAGAUGGGCUAGAUGGAUUAUGUCCCAUGAGAUUACCAUGUGUCUUCGUGUUCCAACACUGACUAUUUUGACUUCAGAGUGAUGUGAUCGGGUGUCAAGAUGACAAGAGGUGUACUUGACGUAGUUAUAUUUCAUUGCCAGUGUGACAGGAUAUGGUGAAGGCCUUUCCAGGAAGGUUCACCUUAACAUGGUGGUAUUGUCUUGUUUGAUGAGGGUCCAUACUGAAUCGGGAGUCUGGAGUAGGAAGAACUCUGAUGAGUGCCAGAGGUCCCUUCCUCUGUUUUCAGAUUCACUUUGUGUGAAUGAGCAGUUUCGCUUUUCUCUUCUCAAAGCUAUGAGCCAUUUCCUUUAGCAUGUUUUUCCGCCCAUGGUGGAACCUUAAGGAACAAGCCACAAUGGACAAUACAUCUUAAGUCUCUUCUCAUCCUUCCUAAGGUUUCAGUGAUGAGUGAGCUUCCCACGCACACACUCUCACACCACAGGAAUUUAGUACAAACUUUAAUAAGAGUUAAUACCCUACAAUUAGUGCUGUGUAGUACUACGUAAGGAUUCCAACUCAGGACACUUUCAUCAUAUACAGACAUACAUGAUGCAUAUACGUGUGUAUAUACUAAUGCUUUCAAAGAUAAAGGGACAUUAGCAUUUAUUUCUACUGAUCUGUGUUCAGAAAAUAUUUAUUAAAUUGAAAAAAACAAACUUUUCAGUGCUAAUCAGUACUAGUUUGAGACUAGGAGUUGGCAAAAAGUGCAAAUGUUUCGUGCCCUCUGCAGGACAGAUGACACCUCACCAAUUUGGUUUGACUAUCAGAAAGCUUCAUUUCCUCACUGUCUAACAUGACCAGAUUUUACCAGUGUGGAGAAAGCUAAGCUCAAAUGCUGGCCUGACAUGUUGCAAGCAUCAACGAUAACUCAGAAGUAAAGAGUGUAAGUGAAUAUGCUGGAUAUUUGUUUGAUUGUUCAAGUUUAAAAUGAAAGUGUUCUACAAAAAAGUUAGUUGAUCCCUUUUUUGUAAUUUUAUUUCUUUUCUUGCGUGUCUAUGUAUGCAUGCGUGUACACAUGUCUUCACUUGUGUAACAUAUGCUUGUGUGAAGGUGGAGGCCUGAGAUUUGAUGUUGGAAAAUGUCAACUGUUCUUCCAUCCUUUCAUCUUUUUUCUUCCUUUCCUUUUUUGGGGGGGUGGGGGAGGUAGGGUCUCAUAUCAAACCUAGAUCUCAUAGAUGUGGCGAGUUUCCAAUUGUUCAGGGGAUCACCUGGCUCUUUCUUUUGAGGCUGUAAAUAAAGAGACCCACAACACUCACUCAGCUUUUCCGAACGUUCUGGGAACCCAAGCUCCUCUUGUAUGCUUAGGGAGUUCUUUAUUCCCCGGCCAUAGUUAAUUACUUUGUAAGGUCAACCUGAGGUGUUUUGCUUCUCAUCGGGUAGUAAUUAUUAUUUGAUGAACAAAUCCCUGUAAAUGUUGCCAGAAACUUUGCAAACUGUGACUCACUUGCUUUGUGCACAGAAACAACUGGGCACUAGAGCAGAGCGUAGUUGACACUCCUAGCUUGUCAUUAUUCUUACUGUUUACUUCUGUCGUUUCCUGAGGUGCUAAUGUGCCUGCAAAAUUCCUUGUUUCUCAGCUUCUCUUAGGAUAAUGUAUCACAAUAAGGGCAUUUCUACCUCUGUAGAACUCAUUGGUGAAGCUGGGAAGAGCGUAAAGGGAGCAGAUGGAGGCACACGUUCCUAUUCUGUCUGACCUUCCUUUAUGCAUUUCCCCCGUCUGGCUUGGGUAUACGAUAUCUAGCAUGCCUCCAUGCCUCCACCGUCAGAUCUGGAUGAAGAAAGCUGUGAAUGGCAUUGGGUGGCAUCUGGAAUAGGCAUUCGUUCCAGACUUCUUGGAGUUGUUGCAUCAUCUCUGGAUGGCUUAGAUUUUGGUUUCCCAUUAUAUAAAACCCUGUGUGCUGACAGCAGUGUUAUUUGAUUUUUCUGAGAGAGAGAGAGAGAGAGAGAGAAUCUGUGUGCCUUUGUACAUGGGUGUAUGUCUCUCUGUGUGUGUCUGUGUGUCUCUGUAUGUGAGUGUUGUAUGUGUGUAUGUGUGUGCAUUUGUUUGUGUGUCUGCCUGUCUUGGUUUAUGUCUCUGUGCAUGUCUGUCUUUGUCUAUCUGUCUGUCUGUCUGUCUGUCUGUCUGUCUGUCUCUGUGUGUGUGUGUGUGUCCUCUAUGAAUGUGUGCAAUUUAAGACAUUUUCAACCGUUACAAUUUAAAGAAGACCGUGAAGAUCCUGAUAUCCCCCCUCUUCACAGCAGUCUCUGUAGCAUGAUGUAAUCAGCAUUUUUCAGAGCAGAGAGGAAAGGCUUCAAGUUAGCACGGAGCCAUCUGAUAUAAUUAGGCUGCCUCAUUUGUAGAGAGAAAGCAUGUGACUUCAAUAUAAGUGGAAUGAACUUCAUAGAUCUAUGUUUGUCUGGAGAGGAUUGUAUCUCCUGGCAAAUGCUUGAUACUUGCCAUGUAGGUGUAUCCUUCAUAUUUGUAGGGAUCAUUGUACAUUUUAAAAAUCUUCCUUUAAUGGCAAACUUCCUAUGUUAUUAAAUGGUUUUAUCAACCAUUCAAUGUCUUAAAAUAUAUUGCCAUAAGCAGUAAAAGUUCUAAGGUUAUCCUUAUCUGGAUUUAACUUAACAUUACUGGUUGUGCUGUCUGUACAGCACAUUUAAUUAGGUUUGGGAUAUAUUGGCAGUUUAGUUAGUUAAUCAAAAAUUAUUAGAUUGAGAUUUUAUAGAGACGGGGCUAGCUUUCUCUACCACAGAUGGGUGUUUACAUUAUAUAUUACAUAUAUUACAUUAUGCCUAAUAUGCACCCUUGAGAUACUAAAUAGUGGAGCUCUAAUUAACAGGAAACACGCAGUAGCUUCAUGCUGCCCAUUCACACAUGUUUUGUAUUCCUCAUGUUCAUCUUGUAAAUACUUCUACUCAUACAGUUUGUAAGUGACCGCAGACCUAGAAUGCUGUAAUCUACAUCUGUACACCAGGCUUCCUCCACUGGUUUCUGUGGAGUUAUUCUCAUCCAUGUCUAGCACUGUUACAACCUUCUGCUUUUGGUAAUAUAUAAGGAUCAAAUGACAGCCUGAGACCAUCAGAGGAAAAGUGGUCUGUCAUCUUGGACUCUCACACAUCCCGCUUGGAUGCAGUUACAUAGUAGGAAGUCUGUGAUGUUGGUGAAGAUGUUUUGGUUCGUGUCUGAAGUGAGACAAGAAAGGGUGGGUGACAAAUACUUCCUCAUUGAGGAUUUCUGUAUUGAUAAUUCCUUCCAUUCCCAGUGUUAAUCACUGUGACAUUUAACAGGAUUUAGCCAGGAGGUUUAGAUUUGGAAAAGCAGCCUCUCAUCCACUUUAGGCUACUGAUGGCUGGUGUAUUUUCCCUGUCUUCUGGUGAAACUGCGGUGUUACACUCUGGUACUCUAGAAAUAGCAGGAGCGUAAUGUGGACUGCAGUUUGUCAGGUGAAUAGCAAGCAGCUCAGCGUGUAUUGUACAAAUUCAAUCAGAUAAUUUCACUAACACAGAGCAAGUAAUUUUUAUUUUAUUUUUUAAAUUAGCCUGCAAAGUAUUAGGUAUCUUGACAUUUUCAAAUAUUAAUUUCCAAAUAAUCACUCCUCUCUCCAUCCUUCCUCUUGCCUCCCACUCGAAUCCCAGUUUCAUGGUUUUUUUUUUCCUUUUCUUGUCUAUCUGGUGUCCUUUUGUACCCCUCCGCCUUCGCAAUACUUGUUACCCUCGCUUGAUUCUUUUCUAGUUCUUUGAACCUUUACCAGUGAUUAUAGCAUUUCCAUAUGUGCAUAUAAACAUAUCUGUAUCUGUAUCUGUCUAUGUAUAAGGAUUAUACACUAUGGUUCAUAUGUGAGAGAGAACAUGUAGUUUAAACUGGAACUUUGUAUGCUGAUAAAGUACUGUUCUAUAACUUGUCAUCCUUAGCGGCCUACCAGGGUUUCAAGUUGUUUCACAGACAUAGUCUCCCAGGUGGACAUGCUGGUUGCAGGCAUGCAGGUGAGCUGAUUACUUCUCGUCAUGCUGUCUUCUAAGUGUGUGUUCGGAGUAGUGUAGCAGGUAGGCCUAACAGCUUCAAAGCCAUCCCAAAUGGGGCUAAUCUAUAAAUGUCAAUCAAAUAGCCUUUAUGGUAACACAGACAGAACUGGGUAGAUACCAGUUGUAGUGUAAUUGAGCUUGUCACUAAAGACUGGCCUGACUUUUGUCAUGAACUCAUUCUGACUUAGUGUUAAUUUCUUACCUGCAAAGAGACAAGAACAAUUUGCCUCUAAAGAGGUGAUAUUUAUGAGCAUAGUAUUUAUGAAUGGCAGAACACUCUGGGCUCUUCAAAGCCAUUUAAGUAAUAAAUAAUAGCAUUUUGUGUGUUUCGAAGGAGCUUGCUAAUAUACGUUAGAAUACAGCUCGUAAUGGAAGUCUGAUGAAUAGAUAGGUCUCAACAGUUGGAACUGCACCCCAGUGGAAAUUGCUAAAAUGAAAAAUUACUGUCUGGCAGGCUUAUCAUUGUGCCACAGAGCCUGCUAUCUGUGGUGGUUUAUUUUGCACUUCCUAUCAUAUGUAGGAAAGGAUGCUGAUGCCCCGUGAAAUGCCAUCUGGAUCCACAUAUUGGAUGUGAGACAUGAUGUUACCAUUUUUUUAAGAGGCAGCUUUGCACCUACCAGACUAGCGAGAGGGAAUGCAGUAGUUGGGGAUGGCAUGGAGAAGUUUGCAAAGGAGACACUCAGAUGAAUGAAGUCGACUCUAUAGUCCCCAAAUGGUACUACCCAAUUCAUCCCUGCUUAUGGCACACCUCCAAAAAGAAACAAUCACGUUGUAUCUUAUUUUCCAAUGAUAGGGUAAGGUUGUUAAGAAAGGAAUGGUGGGCUAAGAAAGAGGAGGAUCAGAUUAUGUCCCACACCUGGUCCACAAUGACCAUGUGAUUGAGAUCAGCUCCUAUGUAAAAUCUGUGGCUCCCUUUUUAAUCAUCUACUAACGUGGAUACGAUGUGGUUGGGAAGGCAGGGCAGCCUUGCAUUGUAGUCUGGUUGUCAGUUUUACUGUCUUAAAACGUGACCUAUUGCAUAUUAAAGGUAGACCCGUCAUGAAGCUUCACAAACACAUGGUCCCAGGAACAUAGCAUAAGAGGAUAAUGGAUCAGAGGAUGCACAGCUGGACAGUGAGCUCCGGCGUUACAGCUGCUUUGGGCUAGCUGAUUAUCUCCCUAACGGCAAAGUACUUGGGAAAACUCAAGUGUAAUUACAAGCUGGCAUAGCUUUUAUGGAAAGCUUAAGAAGUUGAAUGCUGUCAGUCUUACACAUGUGAACCUGUCCAGAUAAAAUUCCUGUCAUUAGAAACAAAGGGAACGCAUCCACAGCCUUCCUUUGGACUGUGUUUCUGAAAGUGUUCCGUUUCUGAAACUUGUGCAUGCUUCUGCUCCUGACUCUUCUUCCGGUCUGUUCUCAUUGGUUGUCAGCUUUGCAUGUCUGGCAGCCAUUUUUAGCUCUUUGAAAGGAUUUCCCUUAUCUUUCUCUCUGAUCUAUACACAGUGAUAUUAUAAUUUAAUUUUCAGAAGAAAAAUUUUUUAUCUCUUUCGUUUCUAAGUCACUGGCAAAACUUUUCAAUAAUCCCUUCUCUUGCCCUCACUGCAUGUAGUAGGUUAAUUUCAAUAUCUACAGGGCUCACAUUCAGGGCAAGUCCUACCGAAUUUAUUUAUAUUGGGACUUAAUGUUUUAGAGGCAAUUAUACUUCUCGUUUCAGUCUCAUCUAGAGGGAUAAAUUACUUAAUUCCUUUGAAAGCCGCAGAGGUGAAAUGCCAUCUUUUAAAAGUGUGUGUUAGCACUGACGUGUGUGAAUAUGUGUGUGUGUGUGUGUGUGUGUGUGUAUGUGUGUUCUAAGUUCACAUGUACUGUGUUGCUCUGCACUCCCGUUGUUAGUCUUUGCCAUGAGCACAUUUCCCAUCUUACCACCUCCCUGGCAUAGGGUCUUUCUAAUACACUGAGGCAACAACAUACAUAGACACAGCACUAGAGGAUUGACUCUAGAUAAGGCGUUCCUGACAACAUAGAAAACUGGGCAAAUUUUCCCUUCCUCGAGACACUUUCAGAGUGGAAAGCUGGUGUCCGGGUGUGAGGGAAACCUGUCUGUGUCUUUAAACUUCACUGUGAAUACACUCAGACUUGUGACUCAGUCCAGCAGUUAGGUAAUGUUUUAUUAGAGUAGUUAGGGACAGCAAGAGUUUGGAAAGCAGUUAAUGACAUUUCACAAUCAUUCCUAGCCCCGCUACGCUGACUGAGCACUACCUGACGUUCAGGCAUCUGCUGACCAGAUUUGCUGGCUUCCCUGUGGUUCAUGGAGGCCUGUUCCGUUUACCACAUUUCCCUCUAGCUACAUGGAUAGCAUCCAUCCUCCAUCUACUGCCCUUAACUUGUUUAUGAGGCAUAACUUUCCAUUUCCCUCUAGCUUUAAGCAUCAGGUUUUGAGGGCUGGCUCCUGCUGAUUGAAUACAAAAAGGAUCAUAGAGGCCUGGCAGUCGUUCUGCUCCUAGCUAGAAAAACGUCAGCAACCAUAGCAAAGAGAGGAAUUAUGAGUGAAGCCAAGGUAUCUCACACAGCACCUCUAGGUGGGAGUCUCUUGCUGUAGGAAAUGAUCUUCAGAUUAUUGUUCAUUUGUAAAAGAAAGAAGAUUUGAUGUUGUGGGGUGGGAGAGAUGGUUUUCUGUCUGCAAAAAUAGACUAAUGGAUGAACAAACCAAGAUAUAAACACAACGCAAUAUGACUGUUAGAAUCAAGCUUAGUCUUGUGAUGGGAACAUGGCAUUUGGAAUGACAGUCUCAGUCAAAAGUGCCAUUCCCAUUAAAAUGUGUGCUGCUUGGCUUUGCUUUGACCACUGUGAAAACACCCCUUUGAAAUGUAGGUAACUCGGCUCUUUGCCUUGUGUGACUUCAAGGACAUUCAGAUGACUCUAAACUAACUUCUGAUUGAAAGCUCUCACUGCUCAUCUUUCCAGUGUUGUUCCUUGCUUAGUAGUCCUUGGCACACUCACUCCCUGCCACUUCUCAGAGAUUUCAUACACCAGCACUCAGUCUGCUUGGGAUUCUGUCUCUGUCUUCACUCCUAUCUGCUUCUCUCACCAGUUCUCCCCACAACACCUACAAUUUCUUCCCUGUGUUCUAUUUUUCAUAUGCCUGCCAUCAUUUGUAUUAACCUACAGACUCAUAGUUUUAUUUAAUAUUCCAUUUGAUAACAGGGUUUAUAAGUCGAGAGAUCACAUGUUUUAUAUCAUAAGUCUAUCACUUAGCAUCUUUUUUUUAAAUUUGGUAUUAGUAAGCACCAAUAUAAGUUACUCAUGAAUAUACAGUGAAGACUGACCUAUGAUUCAGUUUCAGUGGACCCUUUUCGCUGUGCAAUUGCAAUGAUUGGCAUUUGGGAUGUUUGCAUAUUAAGCAAAUCAAAGUGUUUAACUCAUGCUGAGUCAGGUUGCAGCUCUUUCUAAACAUGCUGCAAAGGAUUAUCAAUGUAUUUUCUUUAGAUGCUUAAUAUUCACAUAUGUCAUAUAUUUUCUAGACAUAGUUCUUGUGUAUUAGUCAAUCUUGAUGUUUUAAUUAACAGAACAUAUUAGUCUAUCUCAUUUUCCAUUGAGGUCCCUUUCUAAAUGACUGCAUUUUAUAAAUUACUCAAAUUUUGGUUUGUCCUUAAUUAUAUUAACAUAUAAACUGAUUGUUAACAUGGGCAGUGAGACCAUUGCACAUGGUGCUGUAGGGGAAGUUGUUUCUUAGUUGACCUCCAUUAAUACCAGUUUUUUACUAAAACUUUACCUCUCUUCCUAAAAAGAACUGAAUAGCAUUUUCUAUGAGUCUUUGAUAGAAUCUACACAUAUGUGAUAUCGAUUCAAGUAAUAGUCAUAGCAUAGCAUCUUUUCUUUUCUCUCUUUUUUUGUUCCUUUGAGACAGGAUUUCUCUGUGUGACCCUUCAUGUCCUGGAGCUUACUCUGUAGACCAGGCUGGCCUUGGAAUCACAGAGAUCUGCCUGCCUCCACCUCUCAAGUUCUUGGAUUAAAGGUGUGUGGCACCAGCAUUUUCCUUAUUAUCAGUAUUAACAUAUGCCAUUAAAUAGAAAGGCAUAAAGUAUGUUGUGUGAAUUGGGAUAGCUUACUAGAUGGCAUAAAUUGUAUUUACUCUGUAAUCUUUUUCCUGAGCAAUGUAUUGCCAAUAUUUCCUUCUCAGGCUAACAUCAGGAAUUUUUCUCUGUCAAGAAUUUGGAAUGGGUAAGAUUUACUUCUCUAAGACUUCCUUGCCAGCUGCUUCUCUAGCGUGUCCCCAUACCCAAUUCUGUCAUUAAUUAAAGUAAAAGUUUUUUAAUAAUAUACUCAGGAGAGAAGCAAACAUACAUUAGCAAUUCUAACAUGUUUAUAUUUUGUUUACAAUCUUCAUAGCUUUAAUAUCUGUAUAAUAGUAAGUCUGAAAGCAAACCAGGCCCUACAUGGAUGGAUGCUUUGCUUUUCACACGCAAUUACUGACCAAAAUGCAAUGGUGCAUUCCAGCUGCAUGUUUUCAAAACUGUGUUGGUGGGAGUGAGUGGAAUUCCAAGUAUUGUGGGCCUUCAGAAGGCAGGGGUGUUUUCCCCUGUAGACUAAUGACAAUUCUUCUGUGGCAAGGAAAGCUGGUGGCUUCAGAAACUGCUGCUUUAUUUCCUGUUUUAGCAAUUUCCAUAUGGCUCCUGUGGUACCUACCAGUGGGGUUUGCCAGGCAGGCCAACUGCAUUGCCUGUGGCAUUUUGAAUAUCCUGCUGUGUUUGUAUCCCAACCAAGAACAAUUUCUAUUGUUAGCAAGCUCUGAGAGAAAUACCCACAAGGUAAAUACAGGCCAAAGAGAAGGCUGCUCUGGGAUUUCCCUGAGUCAGAGUUAAAAAUUGGUGGAAAGAAAUACUUGGCAGUGUGAGCUUUCACAGCACUGUGCUGGGAUAGUGGGGGCGGGUGGGGAGUGAGAUGUUAUGAUUGAGAACCUAGUGAGACGCAUGUGCUUGACAUGAAUCCUUUUGAAAAACCUGUUUUUCCUCAUUGUAGCAUAUUAAUUUUAAUGUUUUGUAUAUUUUAGUAUGCAACCUAUUACAGAAUAAAAAGUAUAACCCUUCAAAAUAUUACAGUCAGAGGGAUAAGUCUGUUCUGACCAUAUAACAAACAGUCAGUAAUGGGGUGCUUUUCUUUUCUGGCCCUCAUUCCCACUCACUGCAAAUUUAAAUAUGAUAAAUGCUUUCGCCUACAUUGUUCCUGAUACAUUUAGAGCAUAUUUCACAUACACAAGUGGAUUUACGUGAAAUGAAUAAUUGUCUUUAAAAGACGUGUAUAUGUAUUAUACACAUAUGUGUAUAUUUACAUAUAUGUGAUAUUAACAUACAUAUACAUACAUGGACAACAAGAUUUGAUAGUGGAAAAAAAUCUCCACACAAUAUCUAGGAUUAAAAAAUAAGUUAUGAGGUUGCCUUUCUAUCAAAACUUAACUAGGGUAUUCAGAGUUUGCUAUCUGGCAAGAAAAGCACUCCAGGAUGUCUACUGUGAAUGCUCAGGAUAGAAUUCCCAAACUAAUUGUGGCUUCUUUGACUCUAUCAUUCUCUCUAUACUGGGGUGCACAGAGAGAAACUUCUGGGGAUGCCUGCCUGACUGGAAACUGUCAAGAGCAGGGGACGUGGGAGUUAGUUUCAGUCACUGCUCUUGGUGUGGCAUUUUCACAUCUGACCUCCAGAACACCAGUAAGGAACCCCUAGUCUCUGUGAAGCUGAGAACCUGUACAAUGUUUUAGCACAUUUACAUGUGGAAUAAAUAAACCUGGUAUUGCAAAAAGGUAUGUCUCAUCGCAAUGAGUGAUGCAUACUUUCUAAGCUGAAGGAUUUGCUGUUCAACUGCCUACUGGGAAGCAUUUCUCUCUGCUCUCAGGUAUGUAAGAGCCAUAGAAAGUUAUAUGUCUUGUUUCCAGCCUUCUUUUUUUUUUUAACUUUGUCCUGGCUUGUGUAAUCUUUAAAAAUAUUUAUUUAUUUAUUUUAUUAAACUUUUAAUUUAUUCUUCUCUCAUACAUUAUAUCCCUACAUCGGUUCCCCCUCCUUCCCUCCUCCCAGCCCCUCCCUCUCUACCUUCUUUCUCCUGCACAUCUACCUCUCCUCCUUUCCCUUCAUAAAAGAGCAGGCCUUCCAAGAAUAUCAACUAGACAUGACAUAUCAAGUUGCAAUAGGACUAGGUUCAUUCCCUCAUAUCAAGGCUGGAUGAGGCAACCCAGUAGAAGGAGAAGGAUCCCCAAAGCAGGCAAAAGAGUCAGAGACAGCAACCACUCCUACUGUGAGCAGUCCUUCAAGAUCACCAAACUACACAACCAUAACAUAUAUGCAGAGGACCCAUUUCAGACCCAUUCAUGCAGCCUUAUAUUCUUAGUUUUAAAUUUUUAUGUUGAAAUGGAGUAAGGAUUCAUACUUCCAAGGCAGCUUAAGGAUGAAAUGAGAAGGUAUUUAUUAAACAUUCAGAUAAAUGUGUGAUAAAGAUAUGGAAAUUUUUAUUAAGUUUGAAGUUACACCAGCAUACAUGAUUUUUCUGACUGUAGUCCUUCUUGCACUCUGGUUUGUUCAACUUUAAUAAUUAAUAGCUUUAUUUAAUUCAUGAGUAGAUAGGUAUUAUCAGUUAUGUAGGAUGACUGCAAGACUGGAAUUGUGAGAGCUCUGGGGCCCUUGAGAAAGGUGAUCGUGAUGGGCCUUCCCUAUGGGAUUCAGUAACAGCAUUGGCAUUGCUUUUACUAAAAAGAAUCAUAAUCCCGUGACCCUUACAGAGCUCACUUUGUAUAGCAAGAUAACUGUGAACUGAAACCAGUUCCUCAUUAAACUCAGUACACAGCCUGGGACUUGGGUCUGGUAUUUGCCUCUCAUUGUUAACAUCAAAGUUUUUUCUUCUGGAGAAGUGGCCUUUUUGCAUCUUUUUGAAUAAGAAGUGAAUUUCAGGUUUCUUUUCUUGACUGUAGUUUAUAAAAUUAGUGCAUUUGGCAUAGUGGAUAGGAAUAGAAGCAAUGAGUAUCAUUUUUAUAUUCUGUUCUGAAACAAUAAAAGUGACAUUAUCUGGCCUUUACAUUUUACACAGCCCAAGUUCUGGAUGAAAUGGCUGUGUUGGAGUGGUCAUCAGGGAGUCUCUGCAUGGAUGUCUCUGCAAUAAACUUUUUUUAAAUUAUUUUUUCCAUCUUUAUUAAAUUGGGUAUUUCUUAUUUACAUUUCAAAUGUUAUUCCCUUUCCCAGUUUCCAGGCCAACAUCCCCCAGCCCCUCCACCUCCCCUUCUAUAUGGGUGUUCCCCUCCCCAUUACCGCCCUCCCCUAAAGAAUCCCUAUCACUGGGGGUCCAGCCUUGGCAGGACCAAAGGCUCCCCCUUCCACUGGUGCCCUUACUAGGCUAUUCAUUGCUACCUAUGAGGUUGGAGCCCAGGGUCAGUCCAUGUAUAGUCUUUGGGUAGUGGCUUAGUCCCUGGAAGCUCUGGUUGGUUGGCAUUGUUCUUCAUAUUGGGUCUCAAGCCCUUCAAGCUCUUUCAGUCCUUUCUCUGAUUCCUUCAACGGGGGUCCCAUUCUUACUUCAGUGGUUUGCUGCUGCCAUUCACCUAUGUAUUUGCCAUAUUCUGGCUGUGUCUCUCAGGAGAGAUCUGUAUCUGGUUCCUGUCAGCCUGCAUUUCUUGCUUUAUCCAUCUUAUCUACUUUGGUGACUGUAUAUGUAUGGGCCAAAUGUGGGGCAGGCUCUGAAUGGGUGUUCUUUAAGCCUCUGUUCUAAACUUUGCCUCCCUAUCCCCUCCUAAUGGUAUUCUUGUUCCCCUUAAAAGAAGGAGUGAAGCAUCUGCAUUUUGGUCAUCUUUCUUGAGUUUCAUGUGGUCAGUGUAUCUAGGGUAAUUCAAGCGUUUGGGCUAAUAUCCAGUUAUCAGUGAGUGCAUACCAUGUGUGUUUUUCUGUGAAUGGGUUACCUUACUCAGGAUGAUAUUUUCAAGUUCCAUCCAUUUGCCUAUGAAUUUCAUAAAGUCAUUGUUUUUGAUAGCUGAGUAGUACUCCAUUGUGUAGAUGUACCAUAUUUUCUGUAUCCAUUCCUCUGUUGAAGGGCGUCUGGGUUCUUUCCAGCAUCUGGCUUUAUUAAAUAAGGCUGCUAUGAACAUAGUGGAGCAUGUGUCUUUGUUAUAUGUUGGGGCAUCUUUUGGGUAUAUGCCCAAGAGAGGUAUAGCUGGGUCCUCAGGUAGUGCAAUGUCUAAUUUUCUGAGGAACCUCCAGACUGAUUUCCAGAAUGGUUGUACCAGUCUGCAAUCCUACCAACAAUGGAGGAGUGUUCCUCUUUCUCCACAUCCUCACCAGCAUCUGCUGUCACCUGAGUUUUGACCUUAGCCAUUCUGACUGUUGUGAGGAGGAAUCUCAGGGUUGUUUUGAUUUGCAUUUCCCUUAUGACUAAAGAUGUUGAACAUUUCUUUAGGUGUUUCUCAGUCAUCAGCAUUCCUCAGCUCUGAAUUCUUUGUUUAGUUCUGAACCCCAUUUUUAAUAGGGUUAUUUGUCUCCCUGCAGUCUAACUUCUUGAGUUCAUUGUAUAUUUUGGAUAUAAGCCCUCUAUCUGUUGUAGGAUUGGUAAAGAUCUUUUCCCAAUCUGUUGGUUGCCAUUUUGUCCCAACAAUAGUGUGCAUUGCCUUACAGAAGCUUUGUAGUUUUAUGAGAUCCCAUUUGUCGAUUCUUGAUCUUAGAGCAUAAGCCAUUGGUAUUUUGUUCAGGAAAAUUUUUUCAGUGCCCAUGUAUUCAACAUUCUUCUCCACUUUUUCUUCUAUUAGUUUGAGUGUAUCUGGUUUGAUGUGGAGGUCCUUUAUCCACUUGGACUUAAGCUUUGUACAGGGUGAUAAGCAUGGAUCGAUCUGCAUUCUUCUAUAUGCUGACCUCCAGUUAAACCAGCAUCAUUUACUGAAAAUGCUAUCUUUUUUCCAUUGGAUGGUUUUGGCUCCUUUGUCAAAAAUCAAGUGACCAUAGGUGUGUGGGUUCAUUUCUGGGUCUUCUAUUCUAUUCCACUUGUCUAUCUGCCUGUCUCUGUACCAAUAACAUACAGUUUUUAUCACUAUUGCUCUGUAAUACUGUUUGAGUUCCAGUAGAGUAAUUCCUCCAGAAGUUCUUUUAUUGUUGGGGAUAGCUUUAGCUAUCCUGGGUUUUUUGUUAUUCCAGAUGAACUUGCCAAUUGUUCUGUCUAACUCUAUGAAGAAUUGGAUUCGAAUUUUGAUGGGGAUUGCAUUGAAUCUGUAGAUUGCCUUUGGUAAAAUGGCCAUUUUUUACUACAUUAAUCCUGCCAAUCCAUGAGCAUGGGAGAUCUUUCCAUCUUCUGAGAUCUUCUUCAAUUUCUUUCUACAAAGGCUUGAAGUUCUUAUCAUACAGAUCUUUCACUUUCACAGAUACUAAAGUCACACUGAAGUAUUUUAUAUUAUUUGGGACUAUUAUGAAGGGUGUCAUUUCACUAAUUUCUUUCUCAGCUUUUUUCUCUUUUGUAUAGAGGAAGAUUACUGAUUUAUUUGAGUUAAUUUUAUACCCAGCCACUUUGCUGAAGGUGUUUAUCAGGAUUAGUAGUUCUAUGGUGGAACUUUUGGUAUCACUUAAAUAUACAACCAUAUCAGCUGCAAAUAGUGAUAUUUUGACUUCUUCAUUUCUAAUCUGUAUCCCUUUUAUCUCCUUUUGUUGUAAGAUUGCUCUGCCUCGGACUUCGAGAACUAUAUUGAAUAAGUAGGGAGAGAGUUGACGGUCUUGUAUAGUCCCUGAUUUUAGUGGGAUUGCUUCAAGUUUCUCUCCAUUUAGUUUAAUAUUAGCUUCAGGUUUGCUGCAUAUGGCUUUUACUAUGUUUAGGUAUGGCCCUUGAAUUCCUGUUCUUUCCAGGACUUUUAUCAUGAAGGAGUGUUGAAUUUUGUCAAAUGCUUUCUCAGCAUCUAAUGAAAUGAUCAUGUGGUUUUUAUCUUUCAGUUUGUUUAUAUAGUGGAUUACGUUGAUGGUUGUCCGUAUAUUAAACAAUUUCUGCAUACCUGGGAUAAAGCCUACUUGAUCAUGAUGGAUGAUUGUUUUGAUGUGUUCUUGGAUUUGGUUUGCAAGAAUUUUAUUGAGUAUUAUUGUGUCGAUAUUCAUAAGGGAAAUUGGUCUGAAGUUCUCUUUCUUUGUUGGGUCUUUGUGUGGUUUAGGUAUAAGAGUAAUUGUGGCUUCAUAGAAUGAAUUCAGUAGCCCUCCAUCUGUUUCAAUUUUGUGCAAUAAUUUGGAUAGUAUUGGUAUGAGGUCUUCUAUGAAGAUCUGAUAGAAUUCUGCACUGAACCCGUCUGGACCUGGGCUCUUUUUGGUUGGGAGACUUAUAAUGACUGCUUCUAUUUCUUUAGGAGUUAUGGGGUUGUUUACAUGGUUUAUCUGUUCCUGAUUUAACUUCAGUACCUGGUAUCUGUCUAGGAAAUUGUAGAUUUUCUCCUGAUUUUCAAGUUUUGUUGAAUAUAGGCUUUUGUAGUUGUAUCUGAUGAUUUUUUUAAAAUUUCCUCUGAUUCUGUAGUUAUGUCUCACUUUUCCUUUCUGAUUUUCUUAAUUUGGACACACUCUCUGUGUCCUCUGGUUAGUCUGGGUAAGGGUUUCUCUAUCUUGUUGAUUUUCUCAAUGAACCACCUUUUGGUUCUGUUGAUUCUUUGUAUAGUCCUUUUGGUUUCUACUUGGUUGAUUUCAGCUCUGAGUUUGAUUAUUUCCUGCCUUCUACUCCUCCUGGGUGCAUUUGCUUCUUUUUGUUCUAGAGCUUUUAGGUGUGUUGUCAACCUGUUGAUAUAUGCUCUCUCCUGUUUCUGCAGGCACUCAAAUCUGUGAGUUUUCCUCUUAGCACAGCUUUCAUUGUGUCCCAUAAGUUUGGGUAUGUUGUACCUUCAUUUUCAUUAACUUCUAAGAAGUCUUUAUAUGUUACUUGACCUUCUUCCCUUACUGCUUUUAAUAUUCUUUUUAUAUUUUGUUCAUUUGGUGUUUUGACUUUUUUAUGAUGUGAGGAAUUUCUUUUCUGGUCCAAUCUAUUUGGAGUUCUGUAGGCUCCUUGUGUGUUUAUGAUCAUCUUUUUCUUUAUGGUAGGGAAGUUUUCUUCUAUGAUUUUGUUGAAGACAUUUACUGGUCGUUUGACAUGGGAGUCUUCACUCUCUUCUAUACCUACUAUCCUUAGGUUUGAUCUUCUCAUUGUGUCCUGGAUUUCCUGUAUGUUUUGGGGCAGUAGCUUUUUCCAUUUUCCAUUAUCUUUGACAGUUGUGUCGAUGAUUUCUAUGGAAUCUUCUGCUGCUGAGAUUCUCUCUUCUGUUUCUUGUAUUCUGUUAGUGAUGCUUGUAUCUAUGGCUCCUUGUCUCUUCCUUUGGUUUUCUAUAUCCAGGGUUGUCUCACUUUGUGCUUUCUUUAUUACUUUUAUUUCCAUUUUCAAUUGCUUCACCUGUUUGUGUUUUCCUGUAAUUCUUUCAGGGAUUUUUGUGUUUCCUCUCUAAGUGCUUCUAUUUGUUUACUUGUGGUUCCCUGCAUUUCUCUAAGGGAGUUCUUUAUGUCUUUCUUAAAGUCCUCCAUCAUCAUGAUCAAAUGUGAUUUUAAAUCUAGAUCUUGCUUUUUUGGUGUGUUUGGAUAUUCAGUGUUUGCUUUGGUGGGAGAAUUUGGCUCUGAUGAUGCCAUGAAGUCUUGGUUUCUCUUGCUUGGGUUCCCGUGCUUGUGUCUUUCCAUCAGGUUGUCUCUGGUGUUAACUUUUUCUGCUAUUUCUGACAGUGGGUUGACUGUCCUAUAGGCCUGUGUGUCAGGAAUGCUGUAGACCUAUUUUCCUGUUUUCUUUCAGCCAGUUAUGGGAACAGAGUUUUCUGUCUUCAGGUGUGUAGUCAUUCCUGUCCACUGGCUCUCAGCUGUGCCUGUGGGUGGGAAUCAGAAGGGCCUGCCCCUACUUCUCCUAGGUCCCUCUGUGCAGGAAGUCCAGAUGGUGCUAGGCAUUUUCCUCUAGAGUCAGAAAUGUGGGCAUAAAGUAGUCUCCCCUUGUUUCCCAGGCAUGUCUGCCCCUCUGAAGGUCUAGCUCUCCCUCCCAUGGGAUUUGGGUGCAGGGAGCUGUUUAACUGGGUCUGUUCAGAUCUGGGUGCAGUCUGGACUGCGGAGCUCCUGCAGCUUGACUUCUCUGCAACAAUCUUAAAGAAGCAAAAAUUUCAGGCAAGCAGUAGCAGUGCUUGGUAUAGACUACUCAUUCGUGGACUACUAUCUAUUCAUUAUCACGUAGUUCUGUUGCUGUUCGUUUAGUGUAUUAAACCACAAGUAGUGAAUAGUCCCUACUGUUUCCCUAGCAGAACAUAGAAUUUGGAGGGUACAGAGUGAAUCUUGAGCUCCAAACAUGAAGGAAAAUUAGUAGGAUCAGGCCUCUUAGAAGAAAGAUUCAGUCAUUCAAAACAACAUUAAGUUAGCAUCUCCUGGGAAGGACUUUUGCUAGUGGGAGUGGAGUAUGGAAAGACUAUUUGGUGUGUUGUCUAAACACAUAAUCUAAGAGUAAAUAACAGUUUCAUAGCAAUAAGCUGAUUCGAACUUGUGUCAUGUAUAAUACCAGAAACAUGGAGUAAGGAAGAAGUGCCAAUUCUAUAAUGUGUUAAGUUGGUGUUUUGUUUUUUUCCUCUGUAUAUCCUAAUCAUAGGAUGAAACUUGGAGAGUAUUCCAGUGUCUUUUCACUCAAUUAAGAUUUUACAGGAUGGAGUGGUAAAAGACACCAGUGUGUUCUGUGACAUUAUCUCUAGCAAAGUUAAUAAUGCUUCUCUCACUGUUAACUUCAAUCUCUUAGGAACUUACCACAGUUCUCAAAUAAAACAUACUUUGCACUAACGAUGAAAUGGUGCUGAUGCUUUAAACUCUGAGAUACUUUGGAAAAGGGGAAAUGUCUAAGUUAUUUUGCUGGGCUCUUAAGAUUUUAGGUUAAGAAAACAUGCAUACAAGUAAAAUCCUUCUCUGAAAAAUAAAUUGUACUGAUUUUUCUGGUUUAAAACACUUGGUUGUAGCACUUUUUGAUCUUUUUUCUUUUUGUUUUUAUUUGCAAAAUAUUUAUCUAAUAUAAGUAUUGGAACAAAAUGAAUAUAAUUAGUUCAAUUUUAAACUGGUUAACAAUUUUUUAAUUAAAGAAGACAUUCAGACAUUAUAUAUACAUAUAUAUGUAUAUAUAUACAUGCACACAUUUGUAUAGAAAGAGACAUUAUAACUGCAUUCUCACUGUAACACAUGAGACUGAAAUGCAAAAAUGACAAUUCGAAUCCUACAAACAUGUUUCUAGUCAUUUGAUGUCUUUUCAGAUGACUUAGCAAAAACAAGAAACAAAUAUAAACAAUUUAUAACUAAGGAAAUUAAGUCGGAAGAGCAUGUUGCAAAACCUACAUGGAAACUCAGGUGUCUCUUCAGUAUUUUUUCUGCAAAUCUUUCUUUUUUCUUUUAUUGGAUUUUUUUAUUUACAUUUCAACUUUCCAGUUUCCCUGAACAUAAAUCCCCUUUCCCAUCCCCCUCCCUUUUUCUAUAAGGGUUUCCCCUGCCCAUCCACCCCCUCUUCUCGCCCCACCCCACAUUCCCCUAUACUGGGGUGGGGGGAAUCCAGUCUUGUCAGGAUCAAAGGCUUCUCUUCCUUUGGCACCCAAUAAGGCCAUCCUAAGCUACAUAAGCAGCUGGAGCCAUGGGUCAGUCCAUGGGUAGAGGUUUAGUCCCUGGGACCUCUGGUUAGCUGGCAUCCUUGUUCUUAUGAGGUUGCAAGAACCUUCAGGUCUUUCAAUCCUUUCUCUAAUUCCUCCAACAGGGAGCCUGUUCUCAGUUCAAUGGUUUGCUGCUAGCAUUCGCCUCUGUAUUUGACAUGCUCUGGCUGUGUCUCUCAGGGGACAUCUAUAUCCAGCUCUAUACAUCUAGAUUUGAAUUAACCUUUAAUUUAAAUUAACCUUUAAUUGUUCUUUUCUGGACCUUCUCUACUUAUUGUUAGUCCUGAUCAUGUUGCUCUUAAAAUGUUUUUAUUAGAAUUUCUCCCACGGGGUUCAGUUCCAUUCCUGAAAUUAUAGGUUAGUCACUAUAAAGCAAAGCAAGGCAAAGGACCUUGGCAAGCAGAUGCCAUCUUUAUUUAAAACAGACCCUGCUUGAGAGGUAGCAUUUUAACUGCACCGGAAACAUGUGCUACUCUUGCCGGCUGUAGGACAUCAAUAUUUCUUUGGGUUCCGGUGAUGUUUUAAUUUUUUCUCAUUGCACUUUACACUUGACAACUAAGAAUCGUAUUUUGUUGUUACACAUAUGUCAAAGGAAAACCAUAUGCCUACUAUAACCUGCUCUUCAGUACAGUGUCCAUCAGACACAUAGAAUUCUUAUAUAGUGAACUGUGCCACAUUGGGUUUUUCCUUUGGUUCUUAUAGCAUGAGGGGUCUUUUUGUCUUUAGAACAUGGAGACUUACAUACGUAUGAAUGUAUGGACACUUGGUUAUCUUACAACAAUGGUGUUAAAUUUUCUUGAAUGUGUGACUAUUAUACUAAACAUUUAAUACUAAUAUCAACAAUUAUGGUUUAUUCUUAUAUAAUUGAGAUUCUUUAAUGCUUAAACAGUCACAUUUUUCAUUAAAAUUUUUAGCAUAUCAUAAUUCUACUACCUUUAUUUUUAAAUUAAAUAUAUUUUUCCCAGGGUUUUUUACAUUCAAUGAUUUGUCAUGCUCGAUUUAAUACAUGUGUUAAUUCAACAGAACAUCUGUUUAUCUUUUAUUCUGGUGGAAGUCACCUGUCAUUAUUUUCAGAAUGACUAUAUAUGUAUAUAUUUGAAUAUUGACUACACAAUUAUAUUUAUUUAGAUUCAUACAUAUUUAAGUUGAAUUAUAUCACAAAAUUUUGGAACGGUAUAGAAGAUACACUAUAAUAAAAGUGGUGUGCACGACAAAAUGAUAUUUAGUAUUUGUAAAUAAUAACUGAGUACAGGGGAAAUAGUAUUAAUGUAGAGUUAUAUAAAGUGGUAUGAAAAAGAAGAGAGCCUUAUGAUUUGUUUCAGUGUAUUUAGUCAGCUAGUCUUGAGUUUUGCCAUGCUGUGUUCUCUGUUCAUGCUUAGUGGUUAAGCUUGAUUUUUUCUAUUGAUCUUUAUACUUCCAGUGCUAUGUCCAGUCAGGACUCUAAUAAAUUGUAUACAAAUUAGAGAUCUGCUAUUAUUUUGAUUCUCUUCAUCCCACUCUGUUUGUAAAAAUAUAAUAAUAAAAAGUAUUGGUGUCUUUUACCCGCUAAGUCUACACCUUGGUGCCCCAAGAUAUCUGCUAGAUAUUUUGGUGGAAACACAGCCCAGCCACACACUCUCCUACACUCAAACCCCCACAUAAAAGAACACACAACACAAUAAUCUUAGAUCCAAUUGGUAAGAUAUAAUUGCCCACUUAAACAUACAAAGCCCGGUACUAUCCAUCCCUUGAGAACAUUAAUAACAACCUGUAAAUACACAGAGCAGAAUCUUAACAUCACCUGCCAUGACUUCUCCCCUCUCUCCGUCUCCUCUUCUCCUCCUCUCUCCGUUAGUCGCCUCUCUUCCUUCAAACUUCUCUCCCGCCCAUCCUUCCUUCUCCUCCAAUGACAGGCCUCCUUCUAUCCUGUACCUGCCUCACCUGUGACAUCAUCCUACGCCAUUCUUUUCUAAUUCUUUCUGGAACAUGGCUGACAUAGCCACACAUUAACUGUAAGUUUCAUAUCAAUAUAACAGCAUAAUGAACCUUGAUACACAGGUAAUACUGAUGUAAUUUAAUAAAGUUUUCUUUACUGGUAUCCUUCAUAUUGGUAGUUUUAAAGUAGUAGGUAGGAAACUCUUGAAGGCGUUGUAAAGACCAGUGUCUUCGGAAGGUCACCCCCAGAAAUAAUUAUUGAUUAUUGCAGGAACACACACACACAAUGUAGUUAUAGCACGUCAGUACUGGUAAGUCAUGAAUGCACUUUUCAAAAUUAGGCCUUACUGAAAACUUGCCAGCGCAAAUGGCCAAGUUGGUACAAUUCGGUGUUAAGCACAUUUAUAUAUUUUUUAAUUUUACUUUUUUAUUAAUCAUUUUGUUCAUUUAUAUUUCAAAUGAUAUCCCCUUUCCAGUUUCCCCUCAACAAUCUCCCAUCCCAUUUCCCUCCCCUUUUGCCUCUAUGAGGUUGCUCCUCCACCCACUCCUCCACUGCCACCUCACCACUCUAACAUCCCCCUAUGCAGGGGCUUCAAGUUUCAACAGGACAAGGGCCUCCCCUCUCAUUAAGUCAGAUAAGGCCAUCCUCUACUACAUAUGCAUCUGGAGUCAUGGCUCCCUCCAUGUAUACUCUUUGGUUGUUUAUUUGGUCCCUGGGAGCUCUGAGUGGUUCAGUUGUUGAUUUUGUUCUUCCUAUGGGGAUGCAAUCCCCUUCUCCUACUUCAGUCUUUCCCCUAACUCUUCAGGUCCCCGAGCUCCGUCUGAUGGUUGGCUGUGAGUGUCUGCAUCUGUACUGGUCAGGUGCUGGCAGAACCUCUCAAAGGACAACCAUAUCAGGUUCCUGUCCACACAUGCUCCUAGGCAUCAACAAUAGAGACUGGGUUUGGUGUCUGCAGACAGGAUGGAUGCCUAGGUGGGGAGGUCUCUGGAUGGCCUUUCCUUCAGUCUGUGCUCCAUUUCUUUGUCCCUGCCUUUCCUUUAGACAGGAACAAUUCUGGAUUGAAAGUUUUGGGAUGGGGGUGUGGCCCCAUCUCUCAUAUUGGGGCUGCGCCUAUCUAGUGGAAGUGGUCUCUGCAGGUUAUAUCUCCCCUUUGUUGGGUAUUUCAGCUAAUGUCAUCCUUGUUAGUCCUGGGAGACUCUGGCUUCCCUCGCAUCUGGGACUAUUUAGUGGCUAUGCCCCGUUCCCCAUCCCCCACUACUACACAUUUCUAUUCAACUUCCUGACCCUCUGUACUUCUCUUCUGUUCCUUCCCACACCUGAUCUUACUCCCCCUUCCCUCUCCCUCCUGUCUCCCUCUCAGGUCCUUCCCUCCCUCUACUUUUUGUGAUUAUUUUGUGGUGCACAUUUAUCUUUCUAAAUGAGGCAAUGAAAGACUUACUAGACAAAGAUAAUCCUUGCCUUCUGAGUCAACUAUUUUAAGAAUCAUUUUGAGUCAGGCAUUUUCCUAUUCAAAAAUAAAAGAGGAAACUAGAGUUGAAAUGAAGUCAGAUUUAGUCCAUUCUUGGCUUUGAAAAGAAGUCUCACAACAAAGAUUAAUGCAAUAUAAAAAUUAUUCUUCCUGGCCUUUAGGGAAUUUCAUCCCUAGUACGAUGUAUGAAGGAUUGUCCAUGCUAUCUAACGCCUGGAAUGUUUGUGCUUCAGGUAAAUGAAGGUCUAACUGUGUGCUAACCUUCUUUUCAGUCUUAUGAGCCUAAGAGGCAUUUUUCCAAUUCAUUCACUAGGUCCCACCUGUCUCAUCCUUUGAAUAUAAACAAAAGAUACCUAUGACUUCAGUCGGUACUCUAAGAUAUGUGUGUUUUGGAGAAACAUUGAUGUAUUUAUUUAUAUCCAUGUGCUGUUUCCCCCUUCCUUGUGAGGUUUUCAUUUCACGCAGCAAACCACAGCAAUAAUGUGAAAUAUUUCACUCCCUUCCUUGCCUAUCUGUACUAUGACACAAUUACUGUGCUCCAGUGUAUCCUUGCCUAAAUGAGACAUAUCUAGUCAAUACAAUCCCUUGCUGACCAUGUCAACCUUUUUUCUACUAGAAACUUGUUAUCAUAAAAUGGAGAUACAAUAUCUAGAAGUGCAAUUAUUGGUUAAACCAAAUCCCUUAAAGUUGUGAAAGAACAGUAAAGUUAGCAAUGCAACAGAUGGAAAAUAUGUAGUUAUUUAUUAUUUAUCAAAAUAAUAAAUAUUUAUUAUUUUGGAAGUCCAGAAUGCCACUAAAUUUAUAUUUUCAGUGAGAAGAAUUACCCUAUUUGAGAUCCUGGAAACAAUAAAUAAAUUGUGAUUUGAUUGGGAAUUUGGGACCACUUGUAACAUGACAUUCUGCUCUGGAUCAGUUCAUUAUGUGGAUUAGGGGGCUUUAGAAUCAUAGAAAGGUGAUAUUGAAAAAAAAACACUAGCAACCAUCAUAAUAAAAGCAGUAAACAUGUCAAGUAUUACUGGUUAUUAAAAAAUGUUGCCAAUGUCACGUGUGUAUUAAGAGCUGAGGCAAGUGGAGUGUUGAUAAGCCUGCUGUGAAGGUGAGACCUUUCCUGAUGCAUUAAUAUUCAUUUCCUAUAAUCAAUGCCCUCAUAGAUAAUGUUUGCUCAGUUAAAGCCUAUUAUGCUCACACCAAGUAAAAUUUGCAGUAAAUCAUAACAGCUUCCAGUCUAACUCCCACUGAUUUGGGCUCCUCUGAACAAAUUUUCCAAUUUCAGAUCAGAAUAUGACUCAACCCAUCCAGAGCUCUUCAGUGUUGUCCUAGUCUUUGCCUGUGUAUAGAGAUCUGUAGUGAACUUUGCAACUCAAAUAAGUUCAGGGUACCAGAAGUUCUGAUUAGCAUUGGGACAUAGCUAUUGCUACAUUCCUAAAUCCACAUUUACAAAGGCUACUUCUGCAAUUCCUAAGGGGACAUUAAAGAACAGCGGGAACAACAGUGUAGACUUGUUACUUUAGGGUGGAGACAGUUAAAGAAUCUGAGUUACAUGGGCUAAACACCAAGGGAUUCAAUGCAUCUUUGAGAUUUGGAUCAAACUGACCUGUAGCAGGCACAAACCAGUUUGCUUUCCCAAGUUUCCAUUUGCAAAAGACUCUUUGACUUUGCAUAGAGUUUAUGCAAUGCAUAAAAACCAAUGUUAAAUAAACAUUCAGUGCUAGCAACAAGCACUAUUAAUAAUUUUAAAAUGUCAACACUUAUGAAAAAAGUUAAAGGAGUUACAAUGUUUGGCAUAUAGUUAUUAGCACAGAAUAAUAUAGAAAAACAUAAUGUGAAACUUUGGAGUUCUUGCCUUCAUUUUAAUGAUGUGCAAACGUUCCUUUGCACUUUAUGAUGGCUCAUCUUUUCCAGAGUAAAGGCUUAUUCCUUUCUUGUUCUUAUUCUUAUUUUCUUUUAUUAUGAUAAGAGUCUCUGGCUGGAGAGAUGGCUUAGCCAUUUAAGGUGAGGCUCGCAACCAAAAAUAUAAGAAUCUCUGAAAGGCAAAUAUUGGUAAAGCUCUCUCUCUUUCUUUCUCUCUCUCUCUGUCUCUCCCUCCCCCACCUCCCUCCCCCCUCCUCUCUCUCUCUUUCUGUGUGUGUGUGUGUUUGUGUGUGGUGUGUGUGUGUGUGUGUGUGUGUGUGUGUUUGUGGUGUGUGUGUGUGUGUGUGUGUGUGAGUGUGUGCGCACACAUCCGGGUGCAUGUACCUGUGAAGUGCAGACGAUUUUAGUAGACAGGAUCUCUCAGCUACCCUGGAGCUCAUUGACCCCUAGACUAGCUAACGAACUGCUUCAGCUGUUCUUUGUCCUUCGUGUUCCAGGUUAACCCAAGUAAGCCCCAGCCCCAGGAAUCCUCCAGUUUCCUCCCACCUCAGCCCUGGGCUUUCAUACAUGGACUAUGUGUGUUGCUUUUAACCUGGGUGCUGGGGAUUGGACAAAGUACCUUCUGCACAUGUAUCUUGCACUUUACUGACAAAACCAUAUCCUCAGCCUCCAAAGUUUAAUAAAGUUUCAGAGUAACUAUUUUAAACUGUAUAGGAUGAAAGAGAAUUAAAGAUAAAGUGAAAAUAUAUUAAAAUAUAACACAUUUCCACAUUUUAUCAAUAAAUUAAAAAUAAUUGCAUUCAAGUAUUCCCAAAACAGAACUACAGAAGAGACUAAUUAAAAGGGUAUUAAUGUUUAUGGGAUUGAAAGCAAGGGUAAUUUUCCCCUUAAUUGUGGUUUAAGUUAGUGUUACCUAUCAUCAAAUUGAUUUCUUCUUAUUUUUUACAUUAUUUUUAUUGGUUAUUUUAUUUAUUUACAUUUCAAAUGUUAUCCCCCUUUCCAGUUUCCCCUCCACAAACUCCCUAUUCCCUUUCCCUCCCCUCUAGGAGAGCGCUCCCCGACUCACCCUCUCCAGCCUCAGUGCCCUAGCAUUUCUUUAUGCUGGGUCAUUGAACCUCCACAGAACCAAGGGGUUCCACUCCCAUUGCUGCCAGAAAAGGCCAUCCUCCAAUACAUACACAGCUGGAGCCAUGGGUCCCUCCAUGUGUACUCUUUGAUUGGUGUUUUAGUCCCUGGGUGCUUUGGAGAAUCUGGUUGGUUGAUAUCACUCUUCCGCGGAUUGUAAACCCUUUCAGCUCCUUCAGUCCUUCCCCUAAAUCCUUGUUUCGGGUCGCUACUCUCAGUCCUAUGCUUCGGGUCGCUACGCUCAGUCCUAUGCUUGGCUUUCUGCAACUGCAUCUGUAUUAGCCCGCCUCUGGCACGGACUCUCAGGGGACUGAUAUACCAGGCUCCUGUCAGCAACUGCUUCUUGGCAUCUGCAAUAGUCUGGGUUUGGUGUCUGCAGAUAGGAUGGAUCCCUAGGUGGGGUAGUCUCUGGAUGGCCUUUCCUUCAGUCUCUGUUCCACUCUUUGUCCCUGCAUUUCCUUUUGACAGGAGCAAUUCUAGAUUAAUAUUUCUGAGAUGGAUGGGUGGGCCCAUCCCUCAAUUGGGGACUGUGCCUAUCCACUGGAGCUGCUCUAUCUUUCCAUUGUUAGGUAUUUCAGCUAAUUUCAUCCAUGUUGGGUUCUGGGAACCUCUUGGGUCCCUGGCAUCUGGUACUUUCCAGUGACUACCCCCAUUCCCUCCCCCACUGUUACAUACCUCCUUUCAAAUUCCUGACAUUCUGUACUUCUCCCCCCAACCCACCCCAUGUCCUCACAUGACUGGUCCUGUUCUCCCCUUCUGUCCUCCUCUCUCCCUCUGAGAUGCUUCCCUCCUUCCACCUCCCAUCAUUUUCUUCCUCCUUUUAAGUAGGACUGAAGCAUUCACACUUUGAUCUUCCUUCUUCUUGGGUUUCAUAUCGUCUGUGAGUUGUAUCAGGGGUAUUCAAUGAAUUUUUUUUAUUUGGUCUUUCUUCCUUCCUUCCUUUCUUUCUUUCUUUCUUUCUUUCUUUCCUUCCUUCUUUCUUUCUUGCGUUAAUAUCCACUUAUAUGUGAGUACAUACUAUCUGUGUUCAUUUGUGACUAGGUUACCUUACUCAGGAUGUUUUUUUCCAGUUCCAUCCAUUUGCCUGUAAAUUUCAUGAAGUCUUUGUUAUUAAUAGCUGAGUAGUAAUCCAUUAUAUAAAUGUAUCACAUUUUCUGUAUCCAUUUAUCUGUUGAGGAGCAUUUGGGUUCUGUGGGAUUGCAAUCUGGUACAACUACUCUGGAAGUCCAUCUUGGCUGUUUUUCACAAAAUUGGAAAUAGUUCUUACCUGAAGACCCAGCUAUAUCACUGCUGGGCAUAUACCCAAAAGCUGUUUCAACAUAUAACAAAGACACAUGCUCCACUAUGUUCUUAGCAACCCUUUUUUAUAAUAGCCAGAAGCUGGAAAAAAUAAAAUUGAUUUCUAAAAGUCUUUUUCACAAAUAACCUUAGUUUGCAUGGUGAAACCAUUGCAGACUUAAUUUGGCAGAGGGCUGGCCUAUAGUUUCCUGUCUCUGUCCUUAGAUUUAGAAAGCAGGGGGACCCAUCGACACUUUUCAGAUUAACACACUGAAGAAAACUCAAGUCUGCUUGAAAUGCCUCAGAAUCUGACCACAUUUGAGUGGGAAGGAAGAUUCGAGAUAGUCUCAUGGACCCUCCUUUCUGAAAGAAGUCUCUAGAAUCCUUAACUAAGCUUCAUUUGACAUUUCAGACAUAUUGUGUUUAAACAUUGAUUAGACAGUGUUGACAAGUUCUUACUGACACCAUCACAGACUUGUGGUCAUCUCAGCAGAAAGAGGAAGACCAAUUGAAGGAAGCUCUGAGGUGUGGUCAUCUAAUAUCUGCUCUCAGGAGAGAACAUGUAAGAAAAGUAGACAAUUGGAAAGAAAUUUAUUUCUUCAUCUCUGUCUCUUCUAUCUAAAAACAAUGUGGAGAGAGGAAGAGAACUUCACAGAUAGAAUAGCGUUUGUAUAAAUAAUGAAAUUGCAAUGGCAUUCUUUAGUAUUAUUGUAGAUGAAAGUUGGGGAAAGAAGGUGUGCCGACAUCUCAGUAGGAGUAGCAUGCUUGGCUUCCCCUGCCAUACCAUGAAGAACAUUCUGUGAGCCCCAAACAGAGUAACUGUGUCUUCCUUGCUGCUGCUGCUGUUUCUGAAAAUUCUGAAUGCUGAGACCAAUGGAGAGUCGAUGUCAGUAGAGGUCAUCCAACUGAGUCUUCAUAGGCACACAAGUUCUUAAAGAGAACUUUAUUAUAUUUUUAAUUUGAGGCUUUCUUCAUUUUUAUUUUACAUCUAUGAGUGUUUUGCCUGCAGAUAUGUCUAUAUGUCCUGUGUUUGCAGGACUCAGAGUCCAGUAGAAGGCAUUGGACGCUCCAGAACUGGAUUUACACAUGGCUGUGAGCCACCAGGAGUCAUUCAUUCACCUCAGAUGCUGCCACAGGAACAGGAUGCUGUGAUGUUGCAAUGGACCUCUGCGGUAAUCAACUUACAGCACGAUACACUUCUGGCAAUUGUAAAUAAAUACUUUACAAUUUGUCUCCAUUUACAAGAUAAGCUGCCAGGGAGAGUAGAGGAAUGAUUAGUGGAACAUUGUUUUUUAUCAACAUUGUCCACACCACAGACUUGGCUGGCUUGAGUGCGUCUAUGCUGUGAGUCCACUGCCUUGUGAUUUUUGGAAUAUUUGACAACAGGGCAUCAAUGCAUGAUUGAAAAGGUGUCAGAAUGAGGGUAAGCAGAGUUUAGUUCUAUGUUAUGUUCAAACUGAGAAUUUUAGCAGCACAUUUGUUCUCUGUGGGUUUCACUUGGCUAGAAUGUGACAUGAGAAAUUGAGACAAGAACCUUUACUGGAGUAACACUAAGGGAUGUAUUGGCCUUACAUGUCAAUAGCUUGAAAUUUUAUUGUCAUAGUCAUUUAUAGUUUCGAUUUUGUGUCUGUCAGACUUUGGAGAUAUCUGGGAUAAUUGAUAGGUUUCUAUAAUGCUUUUUGGUCAUCAUGAAAGGAGAGAUCUAGACUAAAUGUGACAAGUUCAAAUGUCUGGGUUACGUAUUAGGCUCAAAAAUGCGCAAAGAAAGAGAGAAUAAGAAACCUAGGAAACCCGUCAGUAUGUGUCCUUUCUAAGGGUACAGCUGUUGACGCCUUCUAAACUUUAAGGGGAAGCUGUGUAAAUUGCCUUUUGUAUGAACUCUCCAGUUGUUAAAUGUUAACAACUAAUACAAUGUGUAUUAAAUAUUCAGAAGUUUGGAACACACGCACCAGACACUAGUUUGGAUUUCUGCUUCAUAUCAGUGAUUUUCAGACAUUUUUCUCGUAAUAACUAUGAGUAAUAAUAAUAGUAAUAUAGUAACAUAGUAACCCCAUGAUUUUUUGUGUUUAUAUAGGAAACGAAUUUCUAAAGCGGUAUGUGUAAUGCAACUAUGUUUCAAUUUUACUCUAUAUUGCAGAAUUUGUUAAUGCAAAAUACAGCUCCCACUUCAAAGACAAUAAAAACAGUUUGUUCUGAGCAAAACGCAAGUGACCCUGACGUGAAAAACGGAUUCAUGAUGCUUCCUAUAACGUUCUAAUGUGGAAGUAGGUGCGUGAACACUUUUAUACUGACAUAACAAAAGAGCGCGAUAAAUCAAUCAAAGCAUUUACGAAAUACAUUGAUGGAUCUUCCAGUGAGUAAGCUACCUUAAAAAUGGGGGAGACUCUACUACACAAGUCUCAGACGCAACCUGAGCUUAGUUUUUGGGUUAUUAAGAGUAAAUAUGUGCUAAAAAUACAAUUAAAAAGUUUUACCUGUCACGAAAGGUGUAGAGGGAGUCAGUGUAUGACUACGGGGACUAAAGAUAGCCCAAGAUAAUUUAAUUCUGGAUUUGCAAUGGGGGAUUGCUUCCUUUUCCAUGUUUUAUCAGUUCAUUGACUUCUACAGCAUUCCAUCUCUUCUUACCAAAUAUUUCUAUUAGUCAGUUUUGUAGGUAUGACAUUGUCUGGGUAAUUUUAUUAAUAGGUCCCUGUUGGCUAAACAUCACAUUAUUUGUACAUACAGUCCAAGUACUUUAAGUCCGGUGGUAGUGACAGGAAGACUCAUUCCUGGGAUCACAAAAAGAAGUUAGUGUGGGCCAGAAAGCUGUCUUUAGGGUAUAGUUGUUAAAAACCAUUAAGAAAGCUUCCCAGAUCCUAUGCAUAUCUGUAGUCAUCACAGUCUGGACAUCAUGUUCUUUCUGUUUCUGCCCAUGAAUCUGUCGUAACAUCUAUGUGCCACUUACAGUAGUAAGAUUAUACCAUAAGUUCAAAUACUCAAAAAUGCAGAAUCCCUCUACAAGUAAAGAUAGUAGAUGAAAGAAAGACAUUUUUAACUCACACAAAAAAACACACUCUUUAAGCAAGCUAAGUAUAUAUAGUUUUUCCCAUGUCAAGUUAUUCAUAUUUUGUGAACUAUGUCAUGUGAGGUUUGCUGUAUUUGCAAUGGUUUAUUAUUUUUCUUUUUCAGAAUUUCAUGCAUGAGCACCGAAUCUAUGCUAUUUCUCCUCUCCUUUCUCUUCCUUCGUUAUUCAAUAUUUUCUUCUUUUAUUACUUUUCUGUUUCUCUCCUGUGUGUGUGUGUAUGUGUGUGUGUGUGCGUGUGUGUGUGUGUGUGUAUUCUACUAAGUCAACUGACUGGAUUUUUUUUUACUCUAGAUUAUUUUUUUGGCUAAAUCGAUUUUAGAGCCAUAAACCCAUCAGAGUUUGGUCAGCUUUAAAGUUUGAAAAGGCUCGGGUUUUAUGUCCAGGUCAUUGCAACAGUUUGGGCUUGUACUUUUAUUUCUCUUAUUACUUGGAUACUACACCAAAUUACAGUUUAGACCAGUAAAAAAAAAUAGUCUCAUUUCAGAGGAAAUAAGACAACAUUUCAGUGUCAUUUUAAAGCCCUUCCCUCCAAACUGUCCUUUCUCCAUACAUCAAACAAUAGUGGUAGACACAGAAACAAGUGAUCAGAAUCAUAAGAAGUUAGGAUUCCCUAGUUGUUGUGAUUGUAACAAAAUCCAAUUACAUGUUUCCUUUUUUUGGGGGGGGGAGCUGGGGACCAAACCCAGGGCCUUGCGCUUGCUAGGCAAGCGCUCUACCACUGAGCUAAAUCCCCAACCCCCAAUUACAUGUUUCCUAAUCACAAAGAGAAAUGGAAUUCUGGAAGGAAUGCAUGUUAUCAUCGACUUCCCUUUUGUGAAGGUUAGUGCUGUCUAGUAUUUUUCCAAUUCUGGCUAAAUAAAGUACAGUUCCCCCAGACUUACUUUUAGAGGUUUUAAUGUUUAUUACAGAAUUAUUUUCUAAUUAUGUGUGCUUUUAUAGGGCUAUGUGCACUGGAAUACAGUCAGAAACCAAAGAGAGAUGAAUGCUGGUGUUUAGCUGGCUUCCUCAUCUUUUUUAUGCAGUCUGAGCCCCCAGUCCCUGGAGGGGUGCCACUCAUAUUCAGAAUGUGUGUUUUCACCUCAAUUAACCUGAUCUGGAUAAUUCUUCAUUGGCAAUCCUAGAGGCUUGUCUUUUGGUGAUUCAUGCUCCUGUCCACUUGAUAAGUAAUGUUAAUCAUUAAAAUAACACAAGAUCAGUUAGCUCUGUAUUUUCAACCUCCCAAACUCUCACCAUUGUGAAUUUCUAAUCAGUCCAGCAGCCUUUUACAAUCUUUAACAGUUGUGUGGAGUUUUUUCCCUAGGAAAAUUAUCUAUUCUAUUGUGAAUUUUUAAUCUAAUACUAAUUUUCUCUCAAAAGGACUUCUCAUAUAGCUAUUAAAUAAUUUUUACAAAUCUCUAGUGGAUUAUUAUUUUCAAUAUAUUUUGUGGAAAAAAAGCCUAGAUGGCAGUAUUGUUAAACAUGAAUGGGACUGGUGAUGUAAUUAUGUCAUAUCUUCAAGAAUAAAAAUAAUUAUUAUAAAAAAUACAUACAAAACAUGUUUGGGAAUUCCUGUCUAGAAUCUAGACUUCCAGAAUAUUUUACAGUCAAAUUCUUCAGCUUAGAAUCUUAAGGAACACUUCAUACCUGCUGUGAACAUAAUGUUUUCUGCGUUGUAUGUAAAGCCUCUGCCUCUAGACCUGACCUGCCAGUAGCCAGCAUGUGACAGAGAUGAGUUUGAUCCUGUAGCCAUGACAAUAAUGUAUGCAAAAUAACACAAUGUUUGCUAGGCAUAUAAUAAUGUUAACAGUCUGUCAUCACUGUCAGUACAAGGUAACACCCACUUGAGAUUCUGUCCACUACUAUCUAUUGCCUCUCAACUCCACAGUAUCUUAGAAAACAGUAGUGUAGACAAAAUGGAGACACUUAAGUCAGGACACCAUGAUACAGCUUCUAUGAAGCCACUAGGACUUUUCAGUGAUACAGCUGUGGUUUGAUCACUGAUGUUCCGAUGAAUAUCCACUCACAAGUGGUCCUAUAGUAAAGCACAAUAAACUCAUUUGUUCACCAAGCUGGACUGGUAUAGAAUCUAUUUCUUUGGUCUGUCAUUGGUACCGAACAUGAGUUAAGUGAGUGUUUAUUAGUAUCUCUGCAGGAAAUUAAGUAAUGCAACAUAAGAAACUGCGAAUUAUAUGUAAUCCAUAACCAGUAAAUAGUUCUAAGAAGACAGAGCUGAAGGAAAGGCAUGGGAAAAUAUAUGAUAAUACACUGGAACAUAUAACUGAGAGUGAUAAUACCUCUUUUUUAUAAAGGAGAUCAUUUUCUACCCUUUAGUCAAAACAGGUAGCUUGUAUAGGUACUUACUCAUAUGGUCUGUGGACAUAUGCAUCUCGGAUUUCAAAUGUUGUUUCCUGACAAAUCAAUGUGGAUUUCUUCAGAAAGUAAAUAUAGAUGCCUUCAUGUGUUGGUUCUGUUCAUACAAUUUAUAUUUUAUCAGAAAUGUAAUACAGAAUUGAUCAAUGUUCUCUGCGUAAUGUCACAUUCUUUCGCACAGCUUCUUUCUGGUUAAUAUAGUUUAUUAUUGACAAGUCUGUGUAUGACAAUAGCUUUCAGAUAUCACAGAAAGAUGUGAAAACUUCACAACAAACUAUAGCUCAUGGAAUUUACUAUUGGGGAAAAUAACAGUAAAGGAAAUUAUUAAACUUUUGUAAUUAUAAAUAUAUCAUUUAACAUUUCCGAAAUCUAUUUAUGCAAUACCACAUUGUUUGUUUUAUGUUUUAUAUAUAUAAUAUAUACAUAUAUAUCUUAAAAAUUGUAUAUAUUCUCAAUCAGUUACUAAAUAUGAAAACUAUAUUAUUUGUGAUGUUUUAAAUAGAAAUGGCCCCAAUAGGCUCAUACAUUUGAAUGCUUGGUUAUUAGGGAGUUGCUCUACAUGACAAAGAUUAGGAGGCAUGGCCUUGUUGGAGUAGUUUUAACUUUGUUGAUGAAAAUGUGUCCCUGGGAGUGGCUUUGGGGUUUCAGGUACCAAGCCAGGGUCAGUGUCAUCCUCUCUUACCGCUCUCUGUGAAUCUGGAUGUAGAAUUCUCAAGCUCCUCUCCAGCACCAUGUCUGCCUGCAUGUUGCCAUGCUUCCCACCAUGCUGAUAAUGGACUAAGCCUCUGAAACGUCUGCAAGCCUCAAUUAAAUUCCAUCUUUUAUAAGAGUUGCCAUGGUCCUGGUAUCACUUCACAGCAAUAGAACACUAAGACAUUGUUUUACUUAAAAUUAAUCAUUUGUAUCAUUAAAAACGGAAUUAGAUACUGGCUAGGCACAAAUUUAACCUCAUGUUUUAUACCCACUGUCUGAUAAACGUGUUUCUUAAUUCUGACUUAAGUUGAAGGAGUGUAUUCUAAGUAAGUAUCUUCCUCCUAAUUCCUUCUUACAUUAAUUUAGCACACACCUGAAGGCUCUAAAUUACUUUGACCCUAAAUUUCUAUAAUUUUGACAGUAUGGUUAGUUAAAAAUACAAUCGUUAGUAGUACGGUAGACAUGUACCAGAUUUAUUGAGCCCUCACCAUGGAAAGUGUUUUCCAUAUAUUACUUUAUUAAAUCUCAUUAUUUGAUAAUGUUUUAUCAUUGCCAAUUCAUGAGCGUAGAAGCUGGAGUUAGUAACAGUUUUGCACAGUCGGUGGCAUAACCUAUGUUUUAAACGACUGAGAUAUUAUGCCUCUGUGUUUAGCUUAACUGACAUUUAUGUGCCAGCCAGUAAUCAAAUCAACAGAGCUCCUUGAGUCUGGAGGGGGGCCUUUCCAUAUGAAUAUGGUUAGUGUUUAUUUACUACACACCAGUAAAGUUAUAUAUCUGUCUUCUGAAUAUUAAAAAAAAAUUCUGUAUAGUAUAAAAGAUGAUUGUUGGCCAGACCAACUCACCACCAGCUGGUUUUUCUUAAGACCCUCAAUGUGUUUUCUCUGAUUCAGUAGCUAAAUGAUUCUUACCAUAUACUUUGGUGCCAGAGCUGUUAGGCUAGUCUGUGAUCAGCUGGCAGUAGCCACUGGUUGCUAAAGGUUUGCACUCAUCCUUGAGUAAUAGAGUUCAAUGCAGUGCUCCCGGACAGUCUUGUGUAAUGAAGCAAAAGCACUUAGGGAGUGGUGGCUAAGGGUUUAGCUAGAGUGCUCUGCUCUUGAAUGUGAACAUUGGAAUCAAAUCAUUUCACUAAAAGGAAAGGCCUGUCUGUCUGUCUGUCUCUGUCUGUCUCUGUCUCUGUCUCUGUCUGUCUGUCUGUCUGUCUGUCUCUCUCUCUCUCUCUCUCUCUCUCUGUGUGUGUGUGUGUGUGUGUGUGUGUGUGUGCACUUGCAUGCAUGCACAUGUGGCGAUCACAGGAAAGCUUUCAGAAUUAGGUUCUAUCCUUCUACCAUUACUUGUUUCAAAAGCUAUGUACUUGGACAUUUAUUUAUUCUUAAGAAUGUACCAAAGAGGUGGGGGAAGCAGAGACUGGGGAGAUAAAUCACUCAAUGAAGUGCUUGUCACACAAGCAUGAAGAUUUGAGUCCAUCUUUAUCACUCACAUGAUGUCACCAGUUGUGAUGUCUUGCUUUUUUAAGCCUAGAACUGGGGAUGAAGAUUCAGAAGAAACCCUGGGGUUCACUGGUCAGACAGCUAAUUUUUUUCAAGUCCUGCAUCCCACCAAAAGACUUUUUUAACGUAAAACAAAGUGGAUUGUUUGUAAGGAUAAAUGACAACCAAGUUUUUUUCCAUAUCUCAAAACACAUGAGCAGGACACACAGGGCACACACACACACACACACACACACACACACACACACACACACAUACACAACCCACACAGGUAAAUAAAGUUAUGGGGGAUCAAUUUGUAAAUUAUUGCAACAUAAUCUUAAUUACAAAGUUAGGCAGAAGAAAGAAAGAUAAUUCUUCAACACUAUCUCCUUAUGGGGUAACUGUAGGGAUGUUAAUAUAAAAGUCCUUCUAAACCAAGAAUUUGCCUAGUCACGGGGAUGGGGAUCACUGAAAGAUUCAGUGACUCUUCUGUCUGGGGUCUUCAUCGUGAGUACUUAACAAAUGUCCCUAGACCUAUGUUUCCCUUGAAAGAUAAACUAUCUUCAUUAUGAUGCAGUUUUCUUCUUACAUUGAAUGAUCCCUUGUCAUUUUCCACAAGAACAUGGAGUUGAAAAUGUUGUACCUGUCACAAGAUGUUUGAAGAGCAAAGUGUCAGUCAGUACACAGACUAAAGUGAGCAAUUUUGAAAUUAUAUAAAAUUCCCUGUUCCAAAUUUUCAUCCUGUCAUGCUAUGAGCUGCACAAACAUUCAAAAGAACACACAGAUCUAUCUUAUGUCUACACAGGUACAAUAAUAAGCCAUGCUUCAAAAUUUAUGCUAAUUACAUGAGAUUUUCAUACAUGUAUGUACUUGUCAUAGAUAUAUGUAAGUAGAUAUACAUCAAGACACCCGGUAUGUUUAUUUAUCUAAUUUUAGAGGAGCAUCAAUAAAUGAUGUGUUGUGUAUUGAUGAUAAAAAAGGACUUUUAUGGGUAAAUUCGAUGAGUUGUGGAUUUAUGGCAAAGUUCAGUAGCCUCUGUGUGUUAAGGAUAAUAAAUACUGUGUAAAGAGAUAGAGACAAUGAAUGACAAUAUAAAUUGAAAGCUGUGGUUUAUAAAAACACAAAAAUAACAACAAAAGAUGAGUUGAUUCUGUUGGUCUUCCUGUGGAGUUCCUAUCCCCUUAGGGGUCUGCAAUCCUUCCUCUUAUUCUCCCAUUAGAGUCCCCAAGCUCCACCCACUGUUUGGCUGUGGGUGUCUGCAUCUGUCUGAGUCAGCUGAUGGGUGGAGACUCUCAGAGGGCAGAGUAUCAUUACCAGUGUCAGGCACUGGUGCUUGCCCAUGGGAUGGGUCUCAAGUUGGGCUUGUUGGUGGUUGACAAUUCUCUCAGUCUCUGCCCUAUCCACAUGCAUUUAUUGCAGGCAGGAUAACUUUGGGGUCUUAAGUUUUUUGGGUGGGUUGGUGUCUUUAUUGAUCUAUUGGAGUUUUUGCUUGGUGACAGGAGUAGCCUUUUUAGGUUCUAUGUCCCCAAUGGUGUGCAUCACAGCUAUGAUCAACCCCCCAUCUUGAUUCUUGGGUGCUUCCCUUAUCCCAGCUCUCUGUCUCUUCCUGGAGAUUCCCCCACCUCCCCACCAGUUCAUUUGUUGAUUUCCAUUUACUCCCAUAGUCAUCUGGCCAUCCCUCCUGUCCCUACUCACACCUCAUCCUGAACCCCUAUUCCUUUUUCCCAUCCACUCUACCACCUGAUUACAUCCCUCCAUCUCCCUCUUCCAUAGGAGGAAAGAUUGUUCCACCAGGGCUAUAGGAAUUCCACAGGAAGAAUCAACUCACCUGGACCAUUGGAGUUUUCAGAGGCUGAACCACCAACCAAAGAACAGACACAGGCUGGACCUAGGCAUCCCUGCACAUCUGUAGCAGAUGUACAGCUUGUUCUUCAUGUGAGUUCUGAACAACUGGAAUGGGGACGAUCCCAAAAGCUGUACCUGGGCUAUGUUUUUCUAGACGGGUUGCCCUGUCUGGCCUCAGUGGGAGAGGAUGUGCCUAGCUUCACAGAGACUAAUGUGCCAGGGUUGGGGUAUACCCAGGAGGAACCCACUAGCUUAAAGAAGAAAGGGAGAUGGGGAAAGAUUGUGGGAGUGGGAGACUGGGAGAGGGGCAGUGAGCAGGUUCCUAAAAAGUGAAUAAAGAAAAAAUAAACAAAAAUUAAAUUAAAGAUGAAUGAAACCCACAAGAAUUUGCACUUUUGAUCUCACAGCAGCUGUGACUGCAGACAGAAGACCUGCACAUGUUCAAUCCUCACAGAAUCCCAGCAUGUGUGGAAAUGGGUCUUACGAAGUUCCACCUCUAACUAAGAAGCCCAACAAUUGGGCUUCUGGGGUAAAAGAGUCAUUUUUUCAGGGUGCAACACCUGGGGGAUACUGGUACUCUAGUAGGUGACCCUAUAGCUUUUGCAUAUAUUGACAACACUAAAGAGAAUCAGUGUGUAAAACCAAGCCAAGCCAAACCAGACCAAACCAAACCAAACCAACCCAAACCAAACCAACCCGAACCAAACUAAACCAAACCAAACUAAACCAAACCAAACAUUAUGUGAACUUGGGAGGGAAUAGCUGGAAUGGAGGGGGAAAGUGGAACUAGGAGGGGGAUGAAUAGGACAGGAUCCAGUUGCGUCAUGUGAAUUAUGAAUAUUUUAAACAAUUAAGUAAUAUUACAAAUAGAAACACCAUAACCAAUGUUGUUAUUCACUGUAUUUCCCAAGCUGAACCAUCUUGUAGGCAAUCAAUUCUGUUUUGCUUCCCUGGCCCAACUGAUUAAAUGUCAGCAUUUCUUUUCAGAGGUGGAGAAAUUGAUAUUAUGGUCUUUUACUUACAUUAUUCUUACUCUUUCAUAAAUUUCUCCCCAAGUUUCAGACAGCCUUCAAUUACAUUUUGGCAAAUGUUUCACGAUAAAAUUUAUUUGUAAGUAUUUUCUAUGUUUUGUUACUGGUAAAAGGAAGAUACUGUGCUUAUUUAAAUCAGGGUUGCUAUUUUUUUUUCAAAGGAAAACAGGACUCAAAGAACGAUAGGAGGCAUUAUGCCAUUUUAAAAUGCCCCUGCUUUUCCUAGUUGACAAGGACCAAAAUGCUAUAAUUUACCCUCAAGUCAUGUUCCUUUUCUCUGUCAUUGUCCAAGAAUUGUAUUUUUCAGUUCUGUUGGAAAUUGGCUGAGGCUUGAUGUGUGCUAUCUUUCCAAAGAUUGAUUAUGGUGUGACAUCCUAAUGGCAUCUGGCUUGCUACUGACCAAGAGGUGACAAUGGAGUUAGGGAACUGACAGUGAUGUAAAGGGUACAUGACUGCCAAGCUCUCUCUUUUGGGCUAUUUUUAUACAUUGUACUGAGUUUGAGCCCUGACUCUCCACUACUGGAAACCUGUAGUCUUUACCUGAAUAGUCUUCAAAGCACAAUACCCCUAUUUAAUCUCCUGUCGUAUAUUGAUUCAUUCUCUCUCUCUCUCUCUCUCUCUCUCUCUCUCUCUCUCUCUCUCUCUCUCUCACACACACACACACACACACACACACUCACACACACUCACACACACACACACACUCACACACACACACAAACACACAUACACACACAUACACACACGGCACUCAUACAAUCUUGUUUUUUCUAUAAUAGAACCUUGUAAUCCUUCUUGUAAGAAAAACAAAAUCACAGUUGCUUGUUUUCUUCAUACUUGCAAGUCUCCUAAGCUUGCAUUUUCUAUCUUUUAAAAAGAGAAAUGUAUUACAGCGGUCUUUCUGCAUGGUUGAAGAUGGGAAGUAGUUCAGUGUGGUCUGCCUCAUGAGCUGAGGGACUGUGGAGUGUGCAGCAGAAACAUUAUUAUGCCCGAUUUUGUCUUCGUAUGAAAUUUUCAUAGUAUUUUCACCUGUACAGGAACCAAACAGUUCUCCUUUUCUUCCUUCAUAUGUGUUUUCUACAAUCAUCUAGCAAGGUACCCUCCCUCUUCUCUGUCAGUGUCUGAAGACCCCAUCUCUGCCCCUUAAUGAGCUCUCUCUUUAUUACUCUUUAUCCAGUCCUGUCAUGUCCUUAGGUCUUCCCCUUGCUCUGAGCAUCCUUAGUACAUUUGUUAGGUUAAUCAUACUCACAAGUAUCUGUGGCUUAAUAUUUCUUAUAUUUUUGAAUACUGUCAUGUGCAUGGAGGUUUUGAGCAUAUUCUUAUUUGUUCCUUAAAAUGAACAUUUGUCUUGUUGGUUUUGAGGAAACUGACACACAGUCAUAGAGACAUAACAUGCAGGCAAUUCAGAACUAAUGGACAUAGAGUGUGACACUGUUUCAACUCAAGGGAGUUUCUAAUCAUUUCAUGAACAUACUAGUGACAUAUGUAAGUUAAUUGAUUCAGCAUACACUCAUUGGACAGCCACAAUACACAGGAUUGUUGCUAGGCAACUAAGGAUACAAAACGAAGUAGAGCAAGUUAGAUCCCUGCCUCUAAGAACGUACAUUUCACUCCAGAGGACUAAAAUUAUAUAAUCACGCAAUGAACUGUUUGGUUGUCUCUGCCAGCAGUACAGUUUGGAUGCAUAAAGGGAUUUAUUGAGUUAGAAACACUCUAGGAAGAACAAACCUUACUCAGAGGGGACUGAAACUAUGAGGGGACUGAAAUUCAUCAAAUAACAAGAGAAGGAACAUCUAUGUUAGGCAGGAAACAUCAAUGGCACAUCAAUGAGGAAGCAGAGGGGUUCCAUAGGACAUUUCAUUGUACCCAUUCCCAUUGUUACUGCAAAUACCCUGAGGCACAUGUUCCUCUAUUUUUGCUUAAUAACAAGUCUAAGCAUGUUCUUCAAGUCAUUAUAAUUUUGUUUUUGAGAAAUAAUGGUCCUGUUUGUAGAAUUUAAUAAUUUGCUUUAGUUUUUCAGAGAUUGGGCAGAGUAGAAAUAAUUUGACCCACGUCAAAGAUAAAACAGGUUUGAGAAGUAUGAGCCAAAAUUAGUGCAGUAAACGUAUGAGCCUGCUCCCUAGGGACUCCUUGGGUUCGGUGACAAGGAGAAAUACAAAAAGUAGGCAGCCAUCCCUUUCUGUCUGAGAGCAGGGCACUCCCUCUGCCUCUUAUGUGGAUUAGGGCAGAUAGAAGGCAUUAGGCAGGUCUCAGCAUGGGACAAACAAGUGUGUCUGAGAGAGUGUUGUCUCUCAGUCAGACAGGCCUACAUCCUGCUCCUGGAGCUAUUCAAGCUAACUUCUCCAUUUGGGAAAAACAAAUAAUACAGAAAGCCCAGCUAUUAUUGGUGUAAGUCCUAGGGGUAAUGUCUUGAACACAGAAACUCUCUUCAUUUAUUUCCUCUUUAUUAUUCCUUUCUUCCUCGUUACUGACACAUUUCUGUACAAUGUAGCCACACGGGGAGGAUAAGAGCUCAGGAAGUGACUGGAAAUUUUAUCCUUUUUUAGAUUUUAGCUGCCCUCACCACUGUUCACUUUCUCUUCUUCAGUUGAUUAAGAUACUUGAACAAUGCAAAUUAUAUAAUUGAAGGUAUUAAGUGCAUCUUUUUAAUGUAUGAAUACAUUGUGACAUGAUUGCCUCCAACAGCCUUACUAACCUAUUACCUUACCUAGUUGCCUUUUGUUUUUAACUGCUAGACAUGCUAUUUAUUAUUCUUUUAUAAUUCAGAACUGGUUACAUUUGUAUUCUAUUUAAUAUAAACUAACAAGAAGUAUAAAGUAUAAAGUAUAGCACAUUAUAUGUAUUCAUAUAUAUAUUCACAAUUCAAAAUGUUCAUAUAUAUAUGAAUAUAUUAAUAAAGUAUAGUAAUUUCUUGGUAUUCAUACAUAGAAACACUGUGCUUUAUACCGUCAAUGUGUACAGUUUGUGGUAUAUAAGUUGUUUGGCCAACAUGUCACCUCUGCCUUCACCCUCAGGUCUUGGUAGCUACUCUUCUCUGUUUCUUUGAGUUUGGUGUUUAAAAAAUCCCACAUAUGAGAGCAAGCAGUCCGUUUUUGCCACUCACUUACUUUGUUAACUAACUGAAGCUAUAGUUCACACUCAGCUUUAGAUUUAGAUGAAUUAUCUAUUAUCAAAUUGCUGCUCAGCUGCCAUAGUGCAUGGCACGUAAUCAAUGCCUGAUAAAUCAUGUUAGUUUCCCUUGAAUAUUGCGAACCAGCCAAGUUUAAAAUUCUGCUUCCUCAAAAGUCACUAUGUUCACAUCCAAGUGUUUGCUAACAAAUGCCAAUGAAUCCUUGGAUGCACAUGCCACAGGCAGACAAGGAAAUCAUGUUAGAGAGCCUGCAAGGAUGCAGAACUAGUGAAUGAGUACGUAGAGGCAUCGUCAAAGGAUUUCUUGGCUAAUCAUAAGGAAGACACUAGGCUUCUCUGACUUGGUCAGAGAAUCCUCUAGUAUGGGCACCAUAGGCUCUUAUAAUGCACUUAACACCUUCACUUAAAAAUGUGACUGUGUGAUUGUGUAAGUGAGAAUUUCACCAGGAACCCAGCCUAGGAUGUACAGAACAUCUGAGGACUCGCUUACUCAUUACAUAAGAUCUUUCCUAUUGGCUGUAUCUAAUCAAUCUCCUGCCGCCAUACCGCUAAGAUUUUUAGACAGGUGUGCCAACUCCCAAUGCAUAGCAGACUGUAAGCUUGAUUUGUCUGAGAAAGGGCCCACCAUUUUAGUUCAGGUUUACAAGGAAGUUACUGUGUAGCCAAGGCUUCCCUCAAACUUGGGAUCCAAUUACCUCAGCCUCCUGAUUGCUGUGUCCACAGAAGUAUGGCACCGUGCCCAGCUACAAGGACACAGGGUUUAGUGAAUCUCUAUAGUUUAUACUGAUUGUACAAUCAAUUUAUGUCUCUCAAAAGCUUCUAAUGGCUUCUAAAGUCAGCAUGGCUAAUGACAUUGAUUUUAGUAGUAAACAUUUAUUCAUUUAUAAUAUCACCUCAAGUUAUAUCAUUAUAUAUAUUAUAUAUUAUACAUAUUAUAUAUAUUAAAUCAUGAAUAUAAUAACAGUACAGUAAGCACAUUUUCUGAUGUGGUGUUGGAAUGUAGUAUAUAAAGUCAGAAACAGUAAAGUAGUUAAUGAAACAAUAUUUAUUUAUUAUUCUUUUAUAAUUCAAAACUGGUUACAUUUGUAUUCUAUUUCAUAUAAACUAACAAGAAGUAUAUUUUCUAAUUGUGUGAACUAUUAUUGAGAGAAAAAUAAAUGUAGUUUUUGGGCAUUCUUUUGCUAAUAAUAGUCUUGCAAAUGUUUUGUCGUUUUGGAAACUAGAAUUUUUCUUGUAUAACCUGGUUCAUUAUUUAGAAAAACUGCUAUGAAAUUAAUUAAAACUUUCUACUGUAACUUUCUAUACUUAGACAAACCUUGUCCUUGACUUUGAUUAUUUGUAUAAAAUUGUGUUUAGUACUUUGAAAUUUUUGCAGAAGAAAUGUGUGUUUUUUUCCUUCUGUAAAUUUUUAUUCUUUACAAAGCUUUCAACAUUCAUUUCUUCUUGAUUUUUCAAGAUGGACAGGGCAUGCUUCUAGUUAUAAGGUUGUUAGAGUACACGCUAAAAGAGCUAAGGUCUGAGCUUGUGUGUACAGCUAGCCAGUUUCCUGAUCAUGACUAAAGGCUUUUUAUUUUCCACAAUCACAGUGCACAGAACAGUCCAGAAAACUCAGACAACGUCUGUCAUUUAAUAGAAAGCCCUAAUGCUCUCACUAGCUUGUUCAAAACACAUUUAUCUGAGCAGCAGACCCUAAACUGAGUGGUCUGACCUUGGCUUCAGUCAAGUUUCCAUAUCACAGAAAUUGACACAUACCACAGAGUACUCAAUCUCAGCUCAUCUUUCCAUGUUAUAGUCAAAAUCAGCUUGCAUGUCUGUGAAGAGGUGAAUGUCCUUAUACACUUUUAUAAACCCAUUAUUAUACCCCAGUCUGAUGUCAAAGAGGGUAACAUGACUAGACUAGAGUGUAGAUCCCCAGGAACAAUAAAUACCACUCUCAUGUAAUGUUUCCAUUCAGUACUAGUAACAAUUGUAUCGUUUGUACCAUACAUUAGAUUAGAGAGGCAUAGCAGACUGGGUCAUAAUUUGUUUACUACACAAUGAAACUGUUCCUGAAAUCAGGAAACAGUGUUUUCCUUGAAUUUUUACUCAGUUUAUCAAAAGUAAGAUCAUUUUAAAAAUUACACACACACACACACACACACACACACACACACACACACACACACAAAACCAUACACAUACACAUAUAUUCAAACCUGAGUUUUCUCAACAUGGUUAAUCAUUACUAUCUAGUUGAUUGGCUUGAAUGAUGCUUAUGUUACUAAAGGAGCUUCCAGCAUGCCUGCAGGGCAUUUCCAAGGAGGAGUCAUAGAAAAAAAGAAAAAAAGAGAAAAAAAAACCAGAAAACCUACUAUGGAGAUGAUUUUGGUGCACCAGGCCUUAGCUAAGGGCAUGGGGGUGGGGGAUGAGGUUGAGAGAAAGCCAGGUGAUGUAGGUCUCUUUCCCUAUCUGCUUCCUGUCUACCUGCAGUAACAGUGUGAACCACGUGCUCCUUUACAAGAUGGAGUGAAAUCCUGGAACCCAUGAGUCAGAAUCAAUCCUUCCUUCUUUCAAUAGAUGUUUUCUUCAGGUGUUUUUUUUUUCUACACUGUAGACAGAAGUUUCUUUUUUUUCCCAAAAUACUUUCUCUUGCCUUUUCAAAACCUAUUUUCUGUUGAUUAUAGGUAAGUAUGCCACACUUCACAAUGUUUGGAAGGAUUAUUUGAGCAUCACAUUCUUUUAAUUGACAUUCUUACAUAAAAAAUUUGAGGUCAAACCCAGAACAACAGCUGAAUCCACUUAGAAAACUUGGACAUCUCUUACUUUCAAGGUGAAACAGUCAUUUACUCAGACCCACACACUACUAUUGUCUUUGUUCCUCCUACACUCUAGUUAAUAUUGUCUUAAUUCUCUACAUCAAAGCAAUAGUAUUUAAAAUAACAUUCUCAUUGAUGUAAUCACUGCUGUAAUCAUUAUCAAUAAAACAAGCAUACUGAAUGGGCAGCUUUUCAUUGAAUGAGGUAGCAUGCAAGAAAUUGUCCAGCAAAUCACACACUAGGAGUUACACAAAUGCCCUUUUUCAGUUGAACCAGCACAGGUGACCUGUUUUGUUCCCUUCCUUUGGCUUCCUGUUCUUCAUUUGGGUAAGUCCAUAAAAUAAAUACAAGGUAUAUUAAUACAUCAUUCUUAAGCAAGAGAGACUAAAAAAUAUAUUAACUUUUGGAAUCCAGUUCCCAAAAUCAUAAUUAAUGCUUUGUUAGGAAGGAUCGACUGUAUGUGCAACAGUAAGGCAGAGGAUUUUGAGGCUGUCCAUAUCAUGGAAUAAACACUGUAGACGGGUAUAUUCCAAUAAGCUGUGUACAAGUCUGCAAAGUAUGUAUACACAUAUAAGUAGUUUCUGUUUGUUAGAUUUCACCAUGUUUUUUAGGGCAUGGUCUGUCUAAUACAGCUUUUACAUGGAGAACACUGCAGUUCCUCACUCUCCCUUGUUUAAAGAUUAUAUUAUUAAGCCAUACUUCCUAAAUUCUGAGAUAUAUAUAUAUACCAAUUGAAGAAAAUUUUGAAUUAAGAAAUCUUAAGGAUAUUUACUUAUAGGGGGUUGGGGAUUUAGCUCAGUGGUAGAGCACUUGUCUAGCAAGCGCAAGGCCCUGGGUUCGGUCCCCAGCUCUGAAAAAAAGAAAAAAAGAAGAAGAAAAAAAACAAAGUAUAUUUACUUAUGCUUGUGGAUAUAAUGGUCCUUUUAUAAUUUCCAGUGAAGAUUCUAACCCAUUGGGCAGCAGUCAUCCCAAAAUCUGAAAUAAUUUCUAAGUAUUUUUAGGUUACAAAUAGAAGGAGUUCCAAAAGAAGGAGGUCUUCAUAAUGCAUAUCCAUAAACAGAAAAUCUAACUUUGAAAGAAUUAUUUUAAGAUAUGCUAGUUUCAAAUUUUCAUUCAUGUAUUUCUUAUGUGUGACCAGUAUUUCUUACAUUAAGCAUUUAGUCGAUCAAAAUUACAUUUUUAGCCCCCACUUAUACACCUUUAGCCCACAUAUAAUUAAACUUUUCAAUAGUAUGAAGAAAUUAAUACCUGUAAGUACCAGAGGUUUCCCAGAGUUCACAAGGUUAACUAAUGACAAUUAUUUGAGUCAAUUAUUUUUGUACCCAGCUCUCUUUAAAUCUAGCCCAUUUACCUUGUCAUCGCAUAAGCACAUAUUCAGCUAAUUGUGUCAGUAGUGACAAUUUGAAGUCAUUUGGAAAGGGGACAAAAUAUAAUUCAUUUCCUAUCCAUGUACGUUAAAUAAAAUAUAAGGAGUGGAUGAUAAUGUAGACACAAUCACAUAUACAUUCACAGAUUAAUAUAUGAAUGAAUAUCUAGAGAACAUACAUAUAUUGAGGUGUAUAGAUGCAACUCGAGGACCUAAUACAUCAGGCCAGCCAUCAGGCAAGAGUUCAUGCCUACAGGUUCGAUAACCUCCAGUACCCCAUCUGCUGAUGUCUAAGUGUUCACGAGCACAAGUCUCUGGAUAAAGUUUCCUAUCCACAUUAUGUAACUACUCAAGUAAAAGAAAAUAAAUAUAUUUACAUUUUUAAUUCAACUUAAAAUUAAUUCUCCCUAAUAAGUAGUUCUCUCCACAUUAGUAAAUGAAAUGUUUGACCUGUAGAAGACAUGAUGGAUGAGAAUAGUUUUUGAGUAGUCGAGGCUCUAUGAACACAUGUGUUUUCGCCUUGUGUUGAGGUACUCAAGGACUCCAUGUAUGAUCUGUCAAAAGUUAAGUAGAACAAGAAAAGCUUUUUUUCUUUUAUGGGAUUUUUUAUUUACAUUUCAAAUGUUAUUCCCUUUCCCAGUUUCCCAGACAUAAGCCCCCCAUCCUAUCUCCCUUCCCUUUUUCUAUAAGGGUUAUUUUCCUCCCUAACCACCCACACUUCCCCUUCCCCAACAUUCCCUGAUACUGGGGGUCCAGUCUUGGCCGGACCAAGAGCUUCUCCUUCCACUGGUGCCCAACAAGGCCAUCCUCUGCUACAUAUGCAGCUGGAGCGCUGGGUCAGUCCAUGUAAAAUCUUUGGGUAGUGGUUUAGUCCCUGGGAGCUCUGGUUGGUUGGCAUUGUUGUUCUUAAGGGGUUGCAAGCCCCUUCAGCUCCUUCAGUCUUUUCUCUAAUUUCGUUGAACUGAGAACAGGAUCCCCUUUGGAGGAAUUAGAGAAAGAAAAUCUUUUAAUGUAAGAAGCCUAGGUUACCUUGCUUAUAAAGUGGGGGAACUACUAUAAUUAUUCAUCCCACUGAGAUUAGAUGGCCUGUUUUGUGUUUGGAAAACAGAUUUUAAAAUAGUUCAAAUGUUUAACCUUGCAUAAAAAUGGAGAAAAAUGCAGAUAUAAUAAUGUCAAGAAGACUGGUUCUACCAUAGUUAUUUCCAACUGAUUAAAGUGCAAUAUGGGAAAAUGAAAUACUUGAAUUAAAGUAUUGUCAUUGGUUAAAUUAGUCUGUUUUACACUAAGUUAAACAUAAUGUUUUUAUACAUGUACAUGUACAUCACACACACACACACACACACACACACACACACACACACACA
Molecule: non-coding RNA, 74667 nt
Organism: Rattus norvegicus (Norway rat)
Lineage: Eukaryota; Metazoa; Chordata; Mammalia; Rodentia; Muridae
Source: RefSeq, a predicted model, not a curated record